CCCCUGAUAUUAAAUCUAGUUGUGUCCAACUCUGUGGGUUGGUGCUUAUCUCCAUUUCUAAGAUGAAGAGCCAGCAUUGUCCAUAGACACCUCCAAGGUCAUGUGGCCGACAUGACUGCAUGGAUCACCAUUACCUUCCUGCCAGAGCAGUAUCUAUUGAUCUACUCACAUUUGCAUGUAUUCAAACUGCUAGGAAACCCAAUAGGUUUCCUAAGGAGUCAUAAGAUCCUAGUAUGGGAGAAAGCUGAACCCUAGGAACCACACAGUCAACAGGUGGCCAUCAGGCUUUUGCUUUAAAGCAGGCAUGGGCAAACUUGGACCUUCCCUCCUUCCCUACCGGCUGUUACAAAUUGUGAGAGUUGAAGUCCAAAACACCUGGAGGGCUGAAGUUGGCCCAUGCCUGCUUUCAAGCCUCCAGAGAAGGAGGCCCCACUGUCAACGAGAGAGAGAGAGAGAGAGAGAGAGAGAGAGAGAGAAGGAGAGAGAGAGAGAUGGGGGAGGGAGGGGAAGAGGAGCUGGCAGUCCUGCAGAAGGCUUUUUCCAGCCCCUUUGCCGGCUUUCCUUCAUGCAUAUAACAAAUAUUCACCUAAAAAUCCCAUGACAUGAAAUAGAAACGGAGGGCUGGAGCAUUCUCUCCUGAUGUUUCACCCAUAUCUAUAGCAGGCAUCCUCAGAGGUUGUGAGGUCUGUUGGAAACUAGGCAAGUGGAGUUUAUAUAUCUGUGGAAUGAUGUCCAGGGAAGGAGAAAGAACUCUUUUCUGCUUGAGGCAAGUGUGAACGUUGCAAUUGGCCAGCUUGAUUAGCAUUAAAUAGUCUUGCAGCUCCAAAGCCUGGCUGCUUCCUGCCUGGGGGAAUCCUUUGUUGGGGGGUGUUAGCUGUCCCUGAUUGUUUUGUGUCUAGAAUUCCUGUCUUCUGAGUGUUGUUCUUUAUUUACUUUAUUUAUUUAGAGGUUUUUUAAAAUACUGGUUGAUUAUUAUUUCCAAUAACCCCCACAAUUCCUAAUGUUGCCAUUGGCCACCUUGAUGAGCAUUGAAUAGCCUUGCAGAGGGCUCAGCUGGGAAGGGAAGGGAGGGGGCGGAGCAGGAUGCAUACAGAUGCACCCCUCAGGUAGGGGGCAGGGAAAGUGGUGCCAAACUGCCUCGGAGCCUGCAUGUAGAUGCACCUGAGGGGCACCAGGCAGUGGGAGGGCGGCUGGAUGGCAGGGGGAGGAGGGAAAGUGAGGCAGAGGUGGAGCGGGAGCCCCAGGAAGCUCCAGUUUUCCUGGAGGCCCUUGGUUACUGUUUAACCCCUCCCCCCUACUCACGUUUCAGCAGUAAAUGGAUCCGAUGAGUCCAGGGCCCCGGUUCUCUUGGCCCGGCAGCCAUUGAGUCCAGGGCUGCCCACUUCCCUCCAGGCAGAAGGCAAGGGGAAAGGGCCAGCGGUGCUUGCGGCCUUCCCUUCAAACAGGCCUCAUUUGCAGCCCUGGCCUCGAGUAGGGGCCACGGGGGCGGGGCCGCAUGGCACAGGGGCAGGCCAGGCUGCGUGGCCCCGCCCCUGCACGGCCCCGCCCCCAGCAGGAAGGCCUGGAAAGGAGGAAGAGGAAGUGGGGACUGGUGCCAUCCUCCCAGGACCUCAAUGGCACCCCCAGACGAUGGCGCCACAGGCAAAUGCCUCCCUUGCCUGGUGGGUGGACCAGCUCUGAAUACAACCUUAAAAUGUACUUUUAAAUAACUGAAAGAGAGCAGUCCCAAACAUUAAGCACUGUCUUAUGUGCCCACUUGAAACUCAAAAAUAGAUGAAGCUAACUUGAUUUCCUUUGGCAGAGAAAUAUGUCCAAUCCUGGUAAUCAGAAUAUAUUGUGGACUAUCUGUCUUCAUUUUUAGAAUGUAUGCCACAAGCCAAUUACAAAAUGUGUACAAGUGCUGAACUUGUGUGUACCACAACACAUAACACAAUCCUUUGUGCUUGGAGGAGAUAGCUGUUUGUUGUUCGCAUACUGAGCAAAGCUCCAUAGUGGGAAAGUAUUGAAGGAUAUAGCAUCAAACUGGAUGUUACGGAAGAUGUUUUUUUCCUCCCGCAGAGAGGCUUUCUCAGAGAAAGAUGCUUCAACAAUCAGAUGUCCAAAUCAAGCUUUUAAUAUCUAACCAAACAACAGAAUAUUUAUUUAUUUACUGUAUUCAUACCCCGCUCUUCUCACCUCGGUGAGGACUCAGAGCAGCCUACAGAAAGUCACAAUUCGAUGCCUCACAAUAACACAAAACAUAUACAUUAAAACCAAAAAGUUAAAAACAUCUAAAUCUUAAAACCAGUUAUUAAAACCACACAAUCGAAAAGCAUAGUCCAGGAGCCAUUCUAGUUGUAAAUUGCACUAUUUCGUAUUCACUUAUUGCUCUGAGAAUUACUGUCCAAAGGUUUGGUCCCACAUCCACAUUUUUAAUUUCUUUCUAAAGUUCAGGAGGAAGGGAGCUGAUCUAAUUUUGCUAGGGAGGGACUUCCACAGCUGAAGGGUCACCACUGAGAAGGCCCUGUCUCUCAUCCUCACCAGUUGCUCCUGCAAAAGAGGUGGGAUGAGAGCAGGGCCUCCGCAAACAAUCUUAACCUCUGAGAUGGUUCAUAGAGGGAGAUAGAUGAAGAGUUCCUUGUUCUGUGACAAGGAGAUGGAGGAGUACCUCUGCAAAUACAGUUGGCCCUGCACACUUGAAAGAUUGACCUUUGCAGCUUUAUUUGCAGAUUUGAUUAAAAUAUUAUCCCCAAUAAUCUUUUAGACCUCCAGUGUUAUGUUAUGGUCUAUUUUUGACAGUAGAUUGACUGUAGAUCAUGCUGGAGGACCUGGGGAUUCCUAGGGAGGUGUUCUCUCAGGUGAAAAAAAUAGCAUUUUUAUUUACAUUUAUUCCACUUUCACAGGGCUCCUGUGCCCCUAGCCCCAAUGAAUGUGGAGGCCUGUCUGUAACAUGUUAAACAUUCAACCUAGUUUCAUCCAUACAUUAUCUUGCUCCAGGUGUUCCAUUAAAAUCCUUUACCUUUGCAAUGGUGUCCUGGUAGUUGCCCAAGAUCUAAGCAGAGCUUGGACAUGUCCUUUUUUCCAUCUGGGAGAUCCUGACAGUGGUAAUUUAAAAUGGGGGAGGGGCAUAUUUUCUGGCUUUAAAUAUGCUCAGGGUAAUUUUUGAAGCUCAAAGAUUAUGAAAAACCAGGGGAACAAAAAAAAAUAGUUGAAAGAAGUAACAGCUGUGUGGCACCUGGAGGAGAAGCAUUAGGUGUUGUAAAAUUUUAUUGCACAUCUCUUGUAUGUUUCAUUUCUGCAUAGAAAAAUCCAUUACUUGUAUAUAUUAUUUCAAAAUAGCAAAGCCUGUCAUUUUGAGUUUUUUAAAUGAAGCUUCUGUGGCUUUUGGUCCCACUUGAUUAUGUAGUAAAGGGUGAAUUAGUGUGAGAAGUGCCAGUUGGUACUGUUUCUUUUCUUCAGUGGCAUAAUAGCCCUUUGGCUAAAACCUGACAUAUUUCUGGUUGAUUAGACAACCUUCAUUGGUCUAGUGUCUUGCUAUAAUUCUGCUUUGGCUGUUAAUAUUUUCUGACACUUACUGCUGUCACAUAGUGCUGUUAAAAGGCUAAUUAUCUAAUCACCUGUUGGCCUGAAGCAAUAACACAUCUUUUGAAGUUGUAUUGUUAUACUUCCACAGGGGAUUUUAUCUCGGCACACCUCUAAAAGGCUGUGGACGGGUUCAUCCGCAGUGCCUGCUACCCAUUUACUUUAGUAAAAGGGACAUAUCCUUACUGACAUGGAAAAGCCAGUUUAUUUAGUUCAGAUAGGUCAGGCUCCCAUAAUAACAUUGGAUAAAUAAUAAUCCAUUUAUCAAUGUUUGUUUUCAAGUCAUUUCUGCUGCAUCCUGAUCAGCAGGGGAAUAGAUCCCCAUUGCUCACAGUGGCUGCUGUCCAGUCUUUGGAAGGAAACAAUACUUAGCUGUUCAACACAGGCUCCUUCUACAGUGCCCUAUAUCCCAGGAUCUGAUCCCAGAUUUAAACUGGAUUAUAUGAGUCUCCACUGCCAUCUAAUCUGAGAUCAGAUCCUGGGAUAUAGGAGCAAUGUGCAAGGGCACCCAGAUAGUUACAUAAUUAAAUAGCAUAUUGUAGAAUUCUGGCUAUCACAUGUAUUUUUUGUUGCAUUAGGGCAUUUUAUAACAGUUGAGCAGAAGAUAGAUGUGAAUCUCUGGUACAUAUCUCAAAUGAUUUUCAGAAGCUCAGAAAGAAGUCUAGACUUCUUUCUGAAGUAGCAGGAACAUAUUGGCAGCACUUAUCCCGCCCCCUUCCAUCCUGUAUUUUGGGGAAAUGAAGAAAGCAAUCUGUUCUAUUAUUUUUGAAAAAUAAUAAAUAAAAGGUUAAAUUUAAAAAGCUGUACCUAUUAUAUUGUCUGACCUAAUGGCAAAGGGAGUUUGGAGCUGAUUUACUUAGUACAGUGGACCCUCAGUAUCCAUUGAGAUUUGGUACCAGAACCUCCCAUAGAUCCAAAAUCCAAGGAGGCUCAGGUCCCAUUAUAUGCAAUAGCAUAGUAAAAUAGUGUGUUAUACCCCAGCCACCUUUGGGUUUUGAACUUGAUUCCAAAAUGAACUUUGACCAGGAUGAAGCUUAUUCUGACUUUUUACCUAGUUUGCAGAGCUCCUUUCAAUUACAGACCCCAGCUGUGGAUAGCUCUGAUGCUUCCUUAAUUGGGAGAGAUACUGAAAACAUUACUCCCAUGGUAGAACCAGAUGUCCCGAGUUCCCCAGGGAAUGUAUCCUUUAACAGAAGGGAGUUUCUGCAUUGCCAGAGAUUAGAAAAACAAGGGCUUUGAAGGAGUCAAUGUUUGGCAUCUAGAGGGGAUAAUGGAUAGGAGAUUCUCUUGGGAGCCUUUGAGGAGUUUGGUUUCCCUUCGCUGUGAUUAGAUCUAAGUUCCAUAAAAGUGUCCUACACUGUGAAUAAUUUGCGGUGUCAACAUAACGAUUUCCUGAGAACACUUCACCGACUCCAGUUCCCUGAUUUCACCAAGCCAAGUCUCCUGUUCCUGGCGGCCAAGCCGAGCCGCGACUCCCAAUUUAAACCGGAGUUAAUUCACGUCCUUGCCUUGUUCCUGAAUCCAGAUUGCUUUUAGCUUUGUCUUGUUCCUGCCUUGAUAUCAAAGACUUCCUAGUGACUUUGGACCUUGUUAUUCACUCUUGCUUUCCUGUUGUUUCUCCGCUCAAGAACUUCCCAACAGUUUUGAGCAUGUUUCGGUUUCUGGACUUUGGACAAUAAUAUUGGACAUAUCACUUCAACUCUUUGGACUAAUUCAUACCUCAUCAUAAAGGACUAUUGCUCACUCAUCUUUUCCACUUUUUCAUUCCUGAAUUUAUAAUUGUUUUAAUAAAGGUAUUAUAUGAUUAUUGGUCUCUGUUUGGUUUCCAGUGCUCACGCUGCCUUGAGGUGCAACAUAAUGUUUCUUAUAUAAAAUGGCAAACAACUCAGAGAAAUGCUGUACAGAACCUGAGGAUCUCUGCAAUGGAUGGAAACUCCAGAAGGAUAUGCAUUCGCAUCAUGUUUUGCUUUUUGGAGUUUUUUUGGAUUGAUUGAAUCCUUGCAUACAGAAUAUAGGACUUGCUGUUCUAUAGCCGACUGCUUUUUUCAAGUAACCUUUCUAGUUUUUGUCCUGUGAGUUUCAAUCACUACUUUUCUUGUCCAUGUUUUGUAGAGAUUGUGCUUCUAUUUCAUUCCGAGCAAAAUGGCCUAAUGUUCACAGUCUCAAAAGAGACAGAAGCGCUGGAAGAAGCACAGCUAGAGGAUGGCAAGAAGAUUUAGUGAUAUAGGCAACUUUCCUCCCUAAAACGUGAAUAACAGAUUUUGACAGAGCCUGCUCCAGAAGACCCUUAUAGCUAAUGAUAGCUUCUGAUAGUUGAUGGCCAUUGCCAGAUCAUUGCCAGAUCAGUAAGUUCCAUAAUUUAACUACAUAUCCCAAAGUAGUUUUGGGGUAGCAUCCUUUUGAGCUACUGGUGGAGCAUAGAUAUCUGCUGGAGAAUAUGCAUUAGCAUUCAAGGAUGAAGGGCGCUGUUUCUUUCCUGGGUAUGCAUGCACAGCUUGGAUAUGAUCCAAGAAAUCUUUUGUCAUCAGUUCAGGGCUGGAGAACAGAGAUUCAUCCAGGAAACUCCAACUGUCAUUCCAUACCUGGGGCAAAGACACUGCACAAAGAUAGUUCCCUGUGACCCUAACUUUAAAAGUAGUUAAUACCGGCACAACUAGAGGUUAUACCUUUGUAAACCACUGGCAGGAUUAUUGUUAUUUCUUUGCUUGUUCAAUAGUCUGUGUAUUUUCAUCAGAAAAGGUGAAAUGGGUAGGAACUUCCAACUUAUGUUUUCCUUAUUGGGGUGAGUGGGCAGGUAAUAUAGAAAGAUGAGGUUGUACAUCCUAUUAGGAAAUUUCACGUCCUUCUGAAGGGCCUUGGACCCACCGUCCCAACUGGAAAUAUUAAUGCAGUCCAUUUGCUUGCAUCAGUUGGAACAAUAUGUGGGGAUAUCUGAAUACAAUGUAUGUUUAUUGUUGUCUAAACUCAGCUUUGUUGAAUUUCUGGCUUGAGCAAUGCUCAAAUGCAACCAGUCAUUUGUGGAGAAAUGAAAUAUUUUCUGAACGUUAAAAAUAAUAAUACUGUCAGGGUUUUUAAAAUAUAUAUUAUAAAGCUACAGGAAUGAGAAGAUAUUGUUCUUCUCCCAUUCUCUUGGCAGAAAUACCCCAUUGGAUUCUGCCCAUUGUUAUGGGUUUAAGAACAUGAGCUCUUCUCAGUACUCAUAUAAAAUUAUAUAGACUGCAUAACUGGUGAGAUAAUGACACAGUAAUUUCACAAAUGCUUUCCUUCUCCCUCAUGGGCUUGUUUUUGCUUGAAAAUCAAUUAAGUGAUAAAAUAUGCAUCCCUUAAGUCACAAAACAGUUUGAUGUUAAUACCAGGUUUUCCUUUUUUCCAUCUGCGAUUACUGGUUUCUGUGUUACUCGUGAUUGCUAGAAAACUAAUCCUACCUUUCUGCAUUAUCUGUUUCAUAAUGGGGGCUUAAGCAGAAUGUAUAAUUAAGCCAAGCUUUGUCCGUCUCUAGAUAGCAAUUUUAAAUGUUGAAACAGGUUUGACUGAAAAUGCUGUAAUAGAAAUACAAUAUAACACACAUCUGCUCUUCUGGAAAUUAUUGCUUUGGACUGCAUUCUAUACGAACAAGUAUCUGAAGAGAAAGCAUAUCUAUCUGCACAAUGUAGUCUGUAGUAAGUUUAGUGAAAUAAAAAAGAAACAUCUUUCCAAUGCUAUACUUGAUGAAUUGGUCCUAAUCCAACUCUGGCACCAUCACAAUGCAAAUGUGUGCCAAAUUAACACAGUGUGGCUGGGCAACUGCAUUUAUUUUACUAUCAAGAUGAAUAUUUCCACAUUCUGAAGAGAAAGACUUGAACAUGUAUCUUUGUCUUUUAUUUGAAUUUAUGUCCAUUUCUAUGACUCAGAUUCAGAGGAAACUUGUUUGCGGAUCAUGUUUUGCUAAGAGUGACUAGUGGGUGUGGCUCAAUUGUAGAAUACAUGCUGAUGGUUCCAGUUUCAGUUCCUAGGAUCCCCACCAAAAACAUCAUCAUAUAGCAAGUAUUGCAGAUAACAUCUGCUCAGACCCUGGAAAGUCAUUGUCUUGUCUUGUCAAAGCAGAUAUUUUCCGUCUGUUAAAAAUUGGAAAGCAUAUCUGUAAUGUGGCACAGUAUUUACAAUUCUUGGGAGGACAGUAUUAUGAAAUGCCAAUCUCAAAGGCUUACAUUAUGCCAGUAUUCUGCGACAAAAUUUGACAUUAGGAGAAUAAAGUAUCCCAUCUGCUUAAAUGUAACUUAAAGGGAUUCAAAGACAUUUUAAAAUGUGAAGCAGCAGUUUAUUAGAACACAGAGAGUUGCUGUUUCAAAACUAUGAUUAUGGAUUAGAAAGGUCAGUUUUAGGACAGAAAUUCCCAGAAUUCUUCAGCUGCCACAACCAGUAACUUUCCAAGCCUUUGGAAGGACACAAAAAUUCUUCAAGCGUCAUGAUGUCACAUAGAGAGAGGAUUUGACCAUUCUUAGGCCCUGCUUAGUUACAAAACUAUGAUAGAUGAGACUGUCUAUCUCCAAGUUCAGGGAGUCAUACAAAAUAAAACCCAACCCAGUCCUAAACAUAUUCCAAGAUUUCUCAUUCCUUUGUCGACUUUCUUGCACCCUUUUCAUGACUUUCUGCUUCCAGUCUUGAUUUAUUUCUUCACUGCCAGAGUAAUUACAUUGUGCCUAAUUAGAUUUACAGUAUUGCUUUAUCACUUAAGCCAUGCAAAUGGGCAACACAAAUUUGAAAGGGGAAAAUGUAGUUGAAUACGUAUGUCACUUUGCAGUGCUGAAUGGGUUACAUUACUUUUCGAAAUCCCUUCUUUCCUGCCUGAAUCCCUUCUGCUUUCUACUUGCCUCCCUUGUACCAAUGGCUCCAUUGAUUUUAAUGCGCAGGAAACCCUUGGAGGGGAGAAAUAGGAAUGUAAGCCCCUGACAAUGUUUUAUCACUCCAUGGGUUUCUCAUUAGAUCACCCCUACAGUAUAAUCAGCUAUAAAUAGAGAUCUGCUAAUUUGAUGAAGAGGCUGUAGGUCUGCAGAUAAUUGAACAAAUACAUCACUGUUCCCCAAAGUAUGCAUACCCUCCUUCUCCUUUUGAAACUCUAGAGACAAGACUUGUGGGGAGAAGAUGAAAAAAGAGAACCCAGCUCAACAAUGAUGGAUUUUGUGUACAGCCCAGAAAACUGAGGAGGGGAGGGGGAUUAAAUCAACCCAUUUAGCAAGAUCUCCAUUGCAAAAGGCAAUUGUUCCAUUCAGGGUUCUCUUCUUAUUGAUGUUCUUUUUGUAGAAUGGCAGUGCCCGUUUGGUAGACUUUUUUGUAAAGGGCAACCAAUUAUUCUUGUUUUGUGCAGUGGCGUUCUGUUAAGAGUAACAAAAUCCAAUUCUCAGCCUAGAUUUUAAUUGUGUAAGAAUAGAUGACUUGUUCCAUUCCUCUUAUUCGUGCACGCAUAUGCAGAGAGAGCUAUACCACAGUCCUGCAGACCUUUGGUCCUGGGUUUUGCUAUUUGUUUUUGCACCACAUCCAGGGAUGCUGAGAACCAUGGAUUUAUUUCAUUUAUAGCAGUGGUUCUCAACCAGGGUCCCCAGAUGUUUUUAGUCUAAAACAUCUGGGGACCCCAGGUUGAGAACCACUGAUUUAUAGUCUUCUUCAUCCAACAUGUCUUUUGUCAGUAGAGCCAUAAAACCUGAAAUCACUUUAGGUCCUGGUCACACUGCACCAUUGUAACACUUAAUUGUCAUGGCUGCAACCUGCAGAAUCCUUGGAUGUUCAUUUUUGGGAGCAAUUUAGAGUGAUUUUGCUAGAGAGCUCUGGUGCCUCACCAGACUACAAAUCCUAGGAUUAUAUCUGAAUUCUUCUCCCUUUAGAAAUCCCCCUCCCUAAUUUUAUAGCUCCCAACAGGCACAAAUCAUGACAUUUUAGGCCACAGAAAACUAAAUGCACAUUUUCAGGAUGAGGACUACUUGGUUUAGUAUUUUUAAUUGGUUUAGUUUAGUUCAAUGCAAACGACCUUGGGAUUAUUGUUGAUGAUAAAUUAAAAAUGGUCCAGCAAUGAUGGUGCCGCAAAGAAAUUGCCCCUGCCUCUCCACUGCUACUAAUAACUGUAUACUAUGAAGGUUUAGAAGCUGUCUUAUAAGGAAGGCAUUUGAAUUCCUCCCAGUGAGCCAGUGGAAGAAACAAUUGUGCUCAAAAGGCUGGCAAGCCCUGAGUGGGAUUCCAGAGCUGGAGACUUUGUGCCUUUAAAGAAAAUGUAUCCGCAGUGAUAUCCGUUUCCAUGUUCUUUGUGAUUAAAGUGCUCUUGGUGAGCGUGCCACACUUCCAAUCAGCUACAAUUUGAAACAUUGCAGCCACAGCUGAACAUCUCUUGAAAGGCAUGACCAUGGAAAGCUGAGCAGAGAGAGGACUGCAGAGAAUGAUUAAACUGAACAGGAGGAAGGGCUACCAGAUAGCCCUUAUUUAUUGCAGUUAAUUUAUAUAUCAUGUUAGAGAGAGAUCCAUGCUUCCCAGAGUUUACAUUUAAAGCCUUCUCACCUAACUUAUAGAUACACUUCCACUUGUUCACUGUUCUUGGAAUAUCUUUUCUGGGGGAUAUUAAUCCUUGUAUUCUGACACAUGAAGUUGAAUUUAGUUGCGCUCCUAUGGUGAUUAUGUCUGAUAAGGCUGUGUUUUACUAGCAGUGCUCAAAGGCUUCUUGGGUUUGAAUGUUUCACCAAAUAAAUGGCUGUUGCUUUCACUUGGACAAAUGGGAAUGCAAUUAUCUGUUGGCUUACAUUUCUCGGAAUGUUGUGAUAUAUAGCUUUUUAAAAGGGCCAAAGUACAUACAGAAAUGAAUAUUUUAGGUUAAAGUUAAUAUUUCAAGAUGUAUCUGUUAUGAAAUGUGCUUUUAAAAGUCACAUGGCUUUUAAAAUACCUCUCAAAUUAGUACAGAAAUUGGAUGGAAUGCAAUGCUACACAGGUAAAAGGGACCUGGUGAAAAUAAUGUAUCAUUCUGUCCUGAUGAUUCUGUUGCCCACAGGGCCUUUUGUGCACUUCUCUCUGUGAUACGCAACAGACGUUGAUACGCAACAUUAUCAAGAUGUAAGCAUAACAAUUUGGCCACAUCAUGAAAAGACAGGAAAGCUUGGAAGGAGCCCCCGGUGGCGUAGUGGAUUAAAGCCUUGUAACUUGAAGGUUGGGUUGCUGAACUGAAGGCUUCCAGGUUCAAAUCCCACCCAAGGAGAGCGCGGAUGAGCUCCCUCUAUCAGCUCCAGCUCCAUGCGGAGACAUGAGAGAAGCCCCCACAAGGAUGGUAAAAACAUCAUAACAACAACCAAAACCCCUGGACAAUGUCCUCGCAGACGGCCAAUUCUCUCACACCAGAAGCGACUUGCAGUUUCUCAAGUCGCUCCUGAAACGGAAAAAAAAGGAAAUCUUGGAAAAGAUCAUGAUGCUGGGGAAAAAGGAAGGAAAAAGGAAGAGGGGCUGACCAAGGGCAAGAUGGAUGGAUGGUAUCCUUGAAGUGACUAGCUUGACCCUGAAGGAACGGGAGGCAGCGAAGGCCGACAAGAAGCUCUGGCGUAGUCUGGUCCACGAGGUCACAAAGAGUUGGAAACAACUGAAUGAAUAAGCAGCAGCAAGCAUAAAAAAUGUAACAUACAUUAAUGCAAACUAGUGAGAAGAUAGGAUAGCACCUCAUCAUCCAUUUUCAGGUACUUCCGGCAUGUUAAAAAGCAUAUAUCAAUGUGCCAUUGAAAUUGUAAAAAAAAAAGUGAAAACUGAUUAAAGAAAAAAUAAUUAUUGGAUAUUUUUUGGGUGGGGGGGGGGAAUUCAAGUGGCAUCUAGACAUUUCAAAAUGUCUUCGUUUACUUAUGCAAAGAAUACCUGACCUGUGUGUACCAUUAGCUUUGAAUAACCAGUUUCUUAGAACAUGUUGGAAUCAUUUUAUAGCAAUCUAUUGUCUCUUCUUUCCAUGUUAUUUUUACAUCUGGUACCAAAUUUUCUGUCGAGUAAUGCUAAGGAACACAUCGAUUUCUUUAAAGGAGGUAUACCUAUAUAUAGGAAUCUCUAAACAGUCAUAUGGAGUCAGGAAUGAACAGGAUUCAGGUUAACAAACUGAAGCUGUGAAUGUUGCUAACAUGUUGGUACUCAUAUUUGUUGACCUUCCUAACCAAAUAGAGUAUGCAACCAGUGCUGAGUUUCAUUCUUCCUUGAAGAAUAUGUUUGCAGCUUGAGGAUGCUCCUGGAUCCCAGUAUGGCUUAUAGAUUCUUAAGUGGCAUCUGCAGCUUGAAGCACCUUUGCACCACUUCACUUGAUUUGCCAGCUGGCCUCCCUUUUAGAAAAUAUUCUUUUCAAUGCAGCGAGUUAUCCAUGCUUUAGUAAUUUCAGGAUAUGGUUGCUAUUUCAGAAUAGCAACUUCAUAUGUAUGAAGAUAGUCUUCUUCCUCCUUGACCCAUUUAAAUCCCUUCUGGGAUUUUCUUGGCUUCAGCUACAGCAUCAAAGAAGAAACGCUGAAUUUGCUCCUUUGCCCCUACCUGUGUCUUCACUACUAUCCAGGUCUCUUCUUUGCUCAGUGUCUCCUAUUUGAGGCAGGUUGAUAAGAGAGCACCUUUAUCAAGCAGUGGGGUUGAGAAAAAUCAAAUGGAGGUGAGAAACUGACACCUUCUUCCCCAUCUUGGUUUGCACCAUCACGUACAGGUGGACAUAGCUCUGCAUGUCCCCUAUCCCUAGCUUCUUUCCCAGCAAGAGAUUGUCUCUAGAUGACAUUUAUAUGCACUCCCUUCCCUUCCUUUGCUUCCCCCACUCAAAAGUUGCCCAUAUGGAAACAUGGAGAUGUGGAGUGAAAUUCAUGAUUGGUAGGUUAUUGUAUAACUUGAAGAGAUGUUGUUCUGCCCUUCUUGUUUUACCAUCUUUCUGAUAAAUUGAUAUUCUUGUAUUAUCUCCUAUUGGCAAGGAUGGAGAGGGGAAUUGAUUUGUUAUCGUAUUUUCUGACUCUCUUGUUUUCUUUCCCGCCUGCCUCCUUGUCCUUCUCUUUCUUUGAUUGAUUGCCAGCCUGCUUCAAUUCUUCAUAAAAAGCAGCCAGACAAUCUUUAGAGUAAAAUUUCUACUUAAAAAUCAUUAGGUUUAUAUUCUAAGGGGGAAAAAAUCUGAAAUUAGGUGUCUCUGAGAAUAGCGUGUUGGCAGCCACUCCUGACUUAAAAUGCUGCUCCCUGCCUGGAUUGAUAUAAACAAUCCCUGCUUUGUGUUCAGACAUCAAGCUUAACACCAAAUGUGAGAACAGAAGUUGCCUUGAGCUGACUUAAGUGCAGUAAACAAGUUUUCCAAAGAAUAACGAUUCACUCGGAGCUUCCGGGAGUAGUUUCUGUGUGAGAGGGGCCUUGUGUGCACACUUUUUAAAGGCAGAACAAAAUGAGGUUUUCUGUUGCUUGUGUUGUUUUAGUAGCCCCUUGGAUAUGGUACAAGCACAUUACAUUUGCUGUGAAAAGAGCAGAAAUCUACUUUCAGCGUUUUCGUCUGUUGUUUUUCCUCCAGAAUGCAAGAAAAUAUCUUGGGAGACCUGAAUGUUUGCUUGCCAACUUGAUAACAGCUUGGUGCUUUUUUCCUUCUCUUUCUUUUUUCCUUUUUCUUUCUUUUGUCGCCUUUGUCAUGCAUAAAAUGUGAAUGCUGGAUUCAGAAUAUAAUAGAACUUAAUGAGAAUACAAAUUUGAAGGCUUUGUGGUUGAAAAGACUAAUAUACACCUUUUGCAAACGUGGCUUCAGUCUUUGGCAUGUAUGGUUCAAGAGAAUUUUGUUUGUCCUGGUGUUUGCAUUGUUUAGAGAUUGUUCUCUUCCUGGAACAUUCAGCACAGACAAUAUUGGGCACUUGAAGGAAGUGCAAAUUGAAAAUAAAUCACAUGAAAGAUAAGAGAUGAAAUUGAAUAAGCUCUUAUCUAAAGCUAACAUAAUGAAUGCCUGUUAUAUCUUUAGUACUAACCUUCAUAAAAUUUACCUACAUAAGACACUAGUGAGUUUGGACUUUUUUUUAACCUAUUAAGUUUUUAAGAGAACACUAAACAUAUUGGAUACAAAAGGCCAUCCAGUGCUGUAGAGUAUGGAAGGACAAAAUCAGGCACUCUGAAUUUUAUUGAGCUGUGGUUCUCAUCAGCCAGCAUAACCAAAAGAGAGGGUUGCCGAGCAAUGAAAUCUAGUGAAGCCUGGAUAACUAAACAUUGACUAACCUACUCCUGCUAUAGAAGUAUUGUAGUCAACAGGGUCAAUGUUAGGUCACGGGAUCAUGAAACCAUGGAAUUGGGGUCCACCUCCCAGCUGUGUAGGAAUCUACAACUGAAAUAUUCCAAAAAGGUGGCCAUACAACCUGGGGUUAAACAUCUCCAGAGAAGAGGAGUCUACCACUCUCUGAGGAGCUCUGCUCUUACCAUUAGGCAGUUCUACCUAAUAUUUAGGUGGAACUUUUUCUCAUGUAAUUUAGAACGACUGGUUUGUGCAGUUGUAUCUGGAACAACAGAAAACAAGUACGUUCCAUCUUCUUCAUGACAUUCCUUCAAAUAUUUUUAAAUGGCUGUUGUAUCACCUAUUAACUUCAUCUUCAGGGUAAACAUUGUCUCUUAACUUUUUACUGUCUUGGUUGGCCUUCUCUGGAUAAGUUCCAAUUUGUUCCAUAUCCUUCUUGAACUGUGGUACCCAGAAUGGGACACAAUAUUCCAGGUGAAGUCAGCCACAGCAGGAUAGAAGGGUAAGAAAAAAAUGUUUUUGUUAUUUAAUUUGUAUCCUAUACUGUUGUUACAGCCUAGAAUUGCAUUGGCUUUUUUGGCUAGAGCAUCACAAAGUUGACUCAUAUUUAGGUUGGAGUCUAUUGAGAUCCUGAAAUCCUUUCUGCAUGUUGUCCUGUAAAACCAGAUGUUAUCCAUUCCAUUUGGUGAUUACAGUAAGUUUCCCAUAUCUGCAGGGCCAAUAUCAGUGGUUUCAUUUGUCCAUGUCUGACAAAAUAUGUCAUCUUUAGGUCUUCCAGAUCUUCCAAUAUGUCUCGAUUUUAUUCUUUGUGCAGAAGUCCUUGAUUCUGCACAAUGAGUCAGUAUUGUAGCCGCAAAAAAAAGCCAAUGCAACUCUAGGUUUGAUAUUAUCUGCAGUUUUGCAUAACCACACAAUUUAUGGGGACAUAGUCCCCAUGGAUACAGGGGUUGCACUGGAUACAAAUCUUUCUCUCUUCUACAUGGAUGUGUAUGUAUUCGUAACCCACAUUUCCCUAAGUGGAUAAAUUCAAGGCUUCCAAAAAUCUUGAACUGUAAGCAUACUAAUAUUGUCUUCAUUUCAAGCAUAUUUUUGCAUGAAUUUUGAAUAUGCUGGAUAAAAGCCAUAUAAUAUAUUAAUGAUCCCAUAUGGAGAUUAUUCCAUCAUAUUUUCUUUCCCUGAGGAACAACUGCCCAUGUAGCGUGGACUUUUAAAAAUGCAGUUGGAACAGCUGUUGUGGAUUUCAGGUUCGGUAAAGAGCAGCAAUUGAAAGCCAGAGUUAUUGCUAUCUUUUGGCUUCUUUCUUUAUCAUCAUCUUUGUCUCAUCUCAAAAGGUGUUUCAUUAAGAUUAUUUCAGGUAACUGCUAUUUGAUUAUUUUAUAUUUCACAGCAGUGGAGAGGAAUUAAAAACAACUGUCAUAUAAUUUUUAGAGCUCUUGCUUGUAGAUGCAUUUUUAAAUUUUCAUUUCCGAAGAAGAAUCCAGGUUUUGCAUAUUAGAAAGAAAACUCACCACCAUAAUAUAGGUUAUCCCUCCCUUUGAAGUCUAUACUUUCUUCACGAAUAUUUUCCUUAUGAUUUAAUUAUUGCUAGAAGGAAUAUUGCUGAGCCUUUCUCUUGUGGUAUAUUGCAGUCUCUGAGAAUGAGGGAUUACAAGGAGAAGAAAAUAUUUCAGGGUAGUAAUACAUGUUCUCUGUUCAUUAUGACUAUUGUAAGUGUUUCUGUUCAUUACUCCUUGAGCAAUAUCAAAAGUUAAUACAGGUUGAGACUCCUUUAUCUGGAAUUCUGAAAUCCAAUAUACUCUAAAAUGGGAAAUUGUCCAGCAUGGGUGGCUGAGAUAGUAACCCCUUUGGAUUCUGGUGGUUCAGUUUACAUUAUCUUUGUUUCAUGCACAAAAGCUUUAAAAUAUUGUUUCAAACUACCCUCAGGGCAUGUAUAUAAGGUAUACAAAUAUAGAUUAAUUUCAUGUAUAGACUGGGUCCCAUCUUUAAGAUAUCUCAUUUUGUAUGAAUAUGCAAAGACGUGUAUUCCAAUAUCCAAAAAAAAUCUGGUCUCAAGACUUUUGGAUGGAGGAUACUUCACCUGUACUUCUCAAAACGCUGCAGAACUUCCUACACCCCUUGAAUCCCUAUGAAUUUUAUUGAAAGGUUUUGCUCUUAUCAUCUCUGCUAGAGUUGGCUCAUAUUUAAUACAGAUCUCUCUCUGCAUCUGAAAUCUUUAAAUUGCUUUAUGCUCCUUUAUGAAUACAUAAACUGAAAGAAUGGAUAAAAACUCACUGUAAACAAUUCCAUAAUGCAUAUGUAAAGAUUUGCUAAGGCAAGCAGAGGAAAGUUUAGCCUUAUCUUGCCUUCAUCCACCUUUGUCCAUUUCCAGCCUGGUACAGUGUAAAUCACUCUUUCUUUUUUGAAACAUGCCCAUACACACAAACACACACAUAUCUCCUUUCUAGUAUAUUUAAAAAUACCCUUCUUGUUCUGUGACUUCAAGGCAUUUCCAGUUUGUGAUGACUCUGAGGCAACCCUCUUGCAGGAUUUUCUCAACAAGAUUUCUUCAAAGGGGGAUUGCUUUUGCUUUCCUCUGAGGCUGAGAGAAUGUGACUUGCCCAGUGUCACCUGGAAAGUUUCCAUGGUCAAGUGGGAAUUCAAAUCCUGGUGUCCUAGUUCAGCAUUUAGAUCACUACACUCAGCCAACUAUUUUUGUCAUAUAGAAACAACUCAGUAGAUAAAGACUACUGCAUAGUGGAGAAAGUGAAAUAUAAAGCAAAGCCAAAGUCUAGUCAGUGCUCCAUAUUUGCUGGUUUGAUGUCAAUGGACUCAAUUAUUUGCAAGUUUGCUAGUGACCCACACUUUCCAAGUGGCACUUCCUUUGGGUUCCUCAGGCCAUAGAUAAAGAAUAAAGAUUGAGUUAAGCACCUCCAAACCUUGACUUGGUCUGUAUUCCUAUUUUACAAAGCUUGAGGAAGCACAUGCAAAGUAGUCAGGUAUUGCUGCCACCAGUUCCUUCCAAAUCAUUGGCAGAUGACUUGAAAGCGUGCACACACACUGCAUCUAUGUGAGCCUCCAUGUACUUCAUCUCCAAGUAGUCUAAUCAGCACAGCUGGAAUGAGGAAUGCUGGAAGUUGGCGUCUGGAUUCCUAAUUUUUUUUUAACAAAACUAAAAGUUAUUUUAUACAAUGCUGUUUCAGUUGAGCCAGACAGAAACUUUCCUUUUUGGAUCCUUCCUUUCACUUAGUAGAAUUUUGUACAACUGGAAUGUGUUAUGCUUGUAUAUUUCUGCACGCAACAGGAAUAAAAGGGACAUUCCCCUCCCUACCUGGAAAUAAUUAUGUUUGGAUUUACCCAGCAACGUUCCAAAAUUGUGUAUGAAUCUGCAGUUGUAGACAAUGAUUUCAGGCAAGGAACAGAGAUUCUUCCAGGAAUAUUACUACUGUUUCCAGAGAAUAAACAUGUAGGACUCUUGUGGUCCAAAUCCCCAGCGGCCUGAACAGAAAUAGAUGGAUUUAAACUAAUUAGGCCUAGUUGUUUAUCUGUAGCAAGAUGCAAAGUAUUUCAGCUUAUGCUAUUGUUGUAUAUUAAUAACCCAGCCAAUUCAGAAGGUAGGUACCUUAAAUUUGGGUAUAAUUGGCAAGAUGCCAGUGGAAGUCUAUAAGAACUUUGGGUGGAUGGAUGUAUAUGACAAAUAGGAAAAUGGCUGUUUUCUUAGCUGCCAAUCGAAUGUAUUCUGAUUCAUUCAGUUGUGAAUUAAAGGGCAUGCUUGAUUCAUAGCAGAGCAAUUUUAAGUCCUGUUCAGUUUAGUGAAAAAGGUUCAAAAAUAGGUUUAACUUUACAUUGAUUGAUUGAUUCGAUUUAGUACUGGUCAUUGACUGUAAUAAAGAUUGAUAGGUUGAUAUCCUACUUUCCCGCAAUAUGUGGUCCAAGGUGACUCAGAGCAUACAUUAAAGCGAAGCACACACACAAAAUUUGCAAUGAAAACUUUUUUUAAAAUACAUGAAAUAAAAAACGCUAUUAAAAUUGCUAUUUAAAAACAGUUUAAAAUACGUAACACAGCAGUGAGAGUAAAAGGGCAGCAUCCCCCAUUAACCGAUAUUUCUGCAACAGUCAAUUUACGGCCAGAUGCCUAUCUUUGCCUUUUUCUUUAGAGGCAAAAGGGAGAAAGGUGGAGUAUCCUGCUUGAAAGAAGAUGCUUAAAAAAACCCAACAAUCUGCAAAUUUAUUCCACCUUGUUUUUCUGAUGAGAUACCUCAAUUGCUUUAUUGUUCUCUAAUGAUCUAAAUACAAAAAUGAUUGCAUAUUUAUUUGGAAAUACGUAAUUUAGAAUCACUAUAGUGUUGAGGCUUAAUUCCAAGUUUUGUUUGGAUCCUGAUUUAGGUGUACUUAGAGUAGAUCGACUUCACUCCUGACAAACCCCAUUGAGCCCAGAUUUGGGGGAAAAGUGUGAUAUAAAUAAAUAUAAUGAUAAAUAAUAAUAUGAUGAUGCUAGUGAAAGCAGUAAUGGAUAAAUACUUUCCAUCGGUUUUUUAUGGAGCCGCAGUUGCGCAAUAGGUUAAACCCUUGUGCCGGCUACACUGCCGACCUAAAGGUUGAGUUGCUGACCUGAAUCGGCGAGAUGGGGUGAGCACCCGUCUGUCAGCUCUAGCUUGUAAGGACACGAGAGAAGCCGCCCUGCAGGAUGGUAACACAUCCAGGCGUCCCCUGGGCAGCGUCUCCGUAGACGGCCAGUUCUCUCACACCAGAAGUAACUUGCAGUAUGUUCUCAAGUAGCUUCUGACACAAUAAAAAAUUGGUUUCUUAACUAGCAUACAGUACGAAACACAUACCCAUGGGGGAUAAAGUCCCAGAAUUCAAAUGGAUAUGUGAAACUCCAGAUAAAAGUAAAACCUAUUGAAUGAAGGACUUCCACCCCAACUCCUACCAUUCGUCAUACUGGCAAACUGAGAAAAUUUUAUUGGAUGUGGAUUUUGUUGGAUGUUGGAUGUGGAUACAUUUUGGUGGAUGUGGAUAAACGAAACCACAGAUAUUGGUUCCUUAAAUAAGGGCUUAUGCUGUAUUUGAAAACUUGAAUAUAAAACUAAAAAUGGUCCUCCUCAGUGGGGAUGCUUCUAGCAUAUGCACUCCUGAUUUAAAAGGAAAUAAAGAUAAUACUUAACAAAUCCGUGCUUUCUGUAAAAAUAGGAUUCCUCUGAGGUCACCAUGUAGUUCAUCCAAAGUACCGACUAAUGUCUGGGCAGAGAAGGAAUUCAUUUUAUUGUCUUGACAUAUUGCCUCGGGGCAUUGCGAGGAUUGGUCAUUAUGUUUGCAAAACAACUUCAACUUGAAGGGACUGGAAAUUUAAUGGUUUAUAAACAUAGGCUAUAAAGAAAAAUGUAAUCUAAAGGGGGGGAAAUCCUGCUUCACAAUCACUAGCGUUUCUUAAAGCAAACAUUCUAAGCUGCUGUCUAGUUGAGAUGAAGUACUUGGAUUAAAUUUGUUUAGACUGAUUGAUUGCAGUAGGAUUUUUAAAAUUAGUCUCGUUCUUUUUUCUGAACUGAAGAUUGGAAAGAAGGAAAGAGAAAGAAAGAUCACAGUAGAUUAUUUUACUAACCAGUGAUACAACUCUGUAUAGAAAAACAGGUUACAUAUUUACCCAAGUCUAAUGCACCAUCGAAUCUAAUGUACACCUCAAUUUUCAAAACCCUGAAACCAAAAAAAAAAAAAAAAAGCAUUUGCUGGCGAAUGUAAUGUGUAUCAACAAAAAGUGCACUCUUUGUAAUUUGGCCAAAAAAGGUGUGCAUUACAGUGCUUACAUGCUUAUAAUUGUUUAUUUUAAGAAUUCUGGCAAUAAAGGUGAGCAUUAGAUUUGAGUAAAUAUAGUAAUUUGUUCCUAAGAUAGCAAAGCCUGCUCUGUUCUAUUGCUUGGAUUUAUCUGCCCCUUUCCUUCCUUUGUUAGAACGCUCUGCUCAGUAACUAUUCCCAACUAAGACCAAAUUGUACAGUCAUUAAUCCAGAUCCACAGCUUCAACCAUCCAUGAUUUGCAAUUAUUUUAAAAAUGUAAAAGGCCAACCUUGAUUUUUUCUUUUAUGUAAGAGAUACCAUUGUAUAUAAUGGGACCUGAGCAUUCACGGAUUUUGGUAUCCAUUGAGUUCUUGGAAGCAAAUCCUGACAGAUACUAAGGGCCCACCAUAAUUUGAAAACCCGAUGUAGCUUGCUUGCUUUUUCUGUCCCUCUUUUCCCAGUUCUGCUGUACGUUUGCAUGAAGGGAGAUUAAAAGUAUGCAUGAAGGGGGAGUGUCUUGUUUCCAUUAUCAGUACAGCACACAGGCAAUUUUAAAUGCUUUAUAAAUGAUAUUGGUAAUAAUAAUGCCACUGUCCUCCAAUCAUGGAAAAGGUUGGUAUGAUGCCUUUGGGAGCAGCUUCAGAUCCCAGAAUGAGUGCUGCCGGGGCACAAUGAUUGCAUAUACUUCUUCUUCACAGCCUUAACAAGCAGAGAGCAGCAGCAGGUGGUUCUGAUGUGAUAACACUGCAACGGCAUUUCCCUGGGCUGCAAAUAUUUUCAUUCUGGAGGGAAAUCACUGCAGUAGCUAGCAUUAAAUGUAGCAUGUAUAUUAACUAAACAUAUAAGAUCUACAGGAUUAGUCACUGCUUUUCCAAGUUAGGAAAAGAAAUGCUAUCUCUUCCAUCAUAGAUGCAAGAAAACCACCAAUAUCAAUACCUGUUUGAUGCUACCCAAGUGAUCAUGUGUUUGCUCUUGCAGACCACAGAGAUAUCUUACAAAGAUAAAGCAAUUCUUGAUGGAAAGGGGAUUUAUAAUUUAAGAUGAAAUUCUGUACACACUGACCUGGAAGUAAGUCUCAUUGAGGAUUACAUUUGAGUAAAGAAGUCCUAUGAUUCUAUCAUGCCUGCUCCAUUAAGUCCAGUUCAAUUACAGCUGUGCUUUGAAAUGAGAAAUGCCUUAGUUAUUGAUAAUAAGCAAUGUAUGAUUACAAACACUUUAUGGAAAAGAAAUUAUGUACAGGCAGUCCCCAAGUUACGAACAACAUAGGUUCUGUAGGUUUGUUCCUAAGUUGAAUUUGUUUGUAUGUUGGAACAGGUAUAUUUUAAAGUGUAACUCCAGCCAUAUAUAUACACAUACACAAACAUUUUGGAUAGAAUACUGGUGGCGCAGGACUGUUGACCGAAAGGUCGGCAGUUCGAAUCCAGGGAGCGGGGUGAGCUCCAGCUUCCCAUACAGAGACACAAGAGAAGCCUCUCACAGGAUGGUAAAACAUCCGGGCGUCCUCUGGGCAACAUCCUUGCAGACAGCCAAUUUUCUCACACCAGAAGCGACUUACAGUUUCUCAAGUCACUCCUGACAUGGGAAAAAAGGGAAGGGUUAACACCCAUGUGGUGCUUGUUUUGCUGUCUGUACGUCUGUUCAAAAGAUUUUAUUUCACUUUCCGUCCCUGUGAUAAUUGGAUUAUGAAAAACUUGGCAUUGUGGAAACAAGGAUUGAUGAUAAAGCUUCAGUGGAGACACUGUUUACUCUUUCAAGAGUGAAUUUCCCUUAUGAGAGGUAGAUGAUGAUGAUGAUGAUGAUGAUGAUGAUGAUGAUGAUGGUGAUGGUUAGUUUAUACUACGCUUUAUCUCCCCUGAAGGGGACUCAAAACAUAAAACAUGAAAGCAUUUGCAUAACCAUUUAAAAUAUACAAAUAUAAAGGCAUUAAAGCAGGAUUAAACAUAAACAGUGUUUCUCUCACUUCCUAUUGUCUCACCUCCGUUUGUAACUAUAAGUCACAUGUAAGUUGUUUGUAACUUGGGGACUGUCUGCACAUGACUCUCUGAUAUUGAUAUGUAAGGAAUGACUGUAAUGAGGCAGCUUUCAUGUUUGGGUGGAUGAAUUCAGAAGAUUAAAAUCAGAUCAUACAAAAUGGAAUCAGAUCAAACUAAACUGUCAAAGAAUUUGUAAAGUAUGGGGGAUAAUUUUUUUUUAACCUAUUCUUUAUUUGUGAGUAUUACUGAAGCAUCGGCACAUCUACACAAGAUUGAUCACAAGGUCUUUUUUUUUCUUUAUUUCCAAAAGCACAAUUGUAACCAGUCCUGCUUUUAAUUUACCUCUGUUGAUGAGCUUCAUUUUCAGUUUUUCUCUAACAAAUUGGAUGGUAGAUUGUGGCAUGAUUGUGGCUUUCAGGAACUUCGGAAUGAACAAAGCAGAAAUAACGUUUUAAGUCUGUCGUUAUCUCAUGAUGAUGAGAUGCUAAAUUAUGGAUACAUUCUCCCUCUCCCUUUCUUUCUAAUGCAUCUGUUUCCUAAAUGUCCAACAAUCUUUUUAAUCUUUCACAAGAUGAUCCUUAAAUGUCUGCUAAUGGCCAAAAUAUUGAGCACUGAAGAGGCUACAAAGCCUUCCAGCUCUACUGGCCUGGUUAACCUUUUCCAUAGUGAUGCAGAAAUAAUUAAUGGGAAUGUAUUCAUGCUUGAAUCUCACAUCCAAAAUUAGGCACAUAAACAAUUAUAAUUUCUAUGAUGCAUAACUAGCUUUCUCUGCCACAUUUCACUGGGCAGUGAAAUGUGAAUCUGCCUCUCCCUUUUAAAUACCUACCGAUAUAUACCUGGUUCAGUGACAGCUGGUUGUCAUACUCUGUGCUUACUCCACCCCACUCCAACCUUGUCAGCUUCUGUAUGAGUAAUUGUUUGAAGCAAAAUAAAAUAUGAUAUUUUAUCCAGUGAGUUGCAUAUAAAGCUUUUUUAGUUGUGCUGUAGUGAUAUAUUUUUGAAGCACAUAAGCUCGGCAUGUGGGCUCUUCAUAGCCAUGACUCCAGUGGCUGAUAGCUGCCUACUUCCAAACAUCUAAUUAGGCAUGGGCAAACUUUGGCCCUCCAGGUGUUUUGGAUUUCAACUCCCACAAUUCCUAACAACCUAUCGGCUGUUAGGAAUUGUGAGAAUUGAAGUCCAAAACACCGGGAGGGUCAAAGUUUUCCCAUGCCUAAUCUAAUCCGUUCUGGAACCUUCAUCAGGAAUUGGUCUUUUGUAAAGCGAAUGGGUCCUCGUGGCUGCAAACCACGCCAAAAUGUUUUAUUUCAGAGGUAGAGAUUUCUCACAACAUUGUAUUAUUGUUUUUUAAAAAAUCCAUCCACUCUCCCCUACUUGAUAGAGGCUAACAAGAGCAGCAAUGCCCUGCUACGUUUAACCCAACACCGUAGGGGAGAAGUGGGCAAUAUGUGUCCCUCCAAUUAUUGUUGAACCGCAAAUCCCAUGAGCCUUAGGCAGCUAAACCAAAGGUAAAAAAUAAUGCAAGGUGAAAUCCAUAUGAUGUCAAGCCUUCAUAUUAUGGCAACCUCACUCACACUAUGCAAUAAAGUCCUCGUAUUUGCUUUGUGUUACAAAUUGCGGGAUGUUACAUUGGCUGAACUAGUCAAAUCACAAGGACUGGAUUCAGCUGCUGUUGGUGCUAUUCUGCAGAUGUCUCCUUGAAGGUCCAGAUGGCCUCCGGUUGUCUUUAAACCUUUUUAGGGAGAAUCUGGUGCUCAAUAGCAAGGAAUCCUACAUUUCGUCCCUGGCACCAGAUCCUGUCUGAUCUCAGAAGCUUAGCUGAGAUAGGGACAUCAACAGAUAAUAAAUAUACCACAUACUGUAGGCUGUAAUCCAAGGAGGGCAAUGACAAGCCUCCUUUGAAGAAAUCUUGCCAAGAAAACCCAGUGAUAGGGGUCUCAUUAAUCAGAGCUUUUUUUCCAUGUCAGAAGCAACUUGAGAACAUAGGCCAGAUUUCUUCAAAGGAGGCUUGCAGAAUUGACUGUCUACAGAGACGUUGCCCAGGGGACGCCCAGAUGUGUUACCAUCCUGCUGGGAGGCUUCUCUCAUGUCCCAUAAAUCAGAGCUGACCUGAGAGGAUAUUAACAAUAAGAAAGCAAAAUGAGGCUGCAUGUGACCCUUUAAGGCUGUUUUGAAGUCACCAACAGAAUGCUCAUUCUCUUGCAAAAAGAAGAAAAAGCUAAUUAUCUUCAGAAACCUUUAGAAUAGUAAUUUAAUAUAUCCCAACCCUCCUCCCAAUUUACCAUUAAAAAGUGCCAACAUUUCAAAAAAGAGAAUUAGGCAUUUUGCAGAGCUGGCCUGAUGCCUCCUGACCCCAAGGGCCCCAGAGCAGAAGACUGAUCCCUCCAUUGUGACCCGUUCGUGGUUUAAAGAAACAAGCACUUCAGUCUCUGGGCAGCAGUUGCCCUUCCAAGUAGACAGACAUAGAUUAAAAAAAAUACUUAUACACUGUAGCUGUAAAAGCACAGGGAAGCUGUUAAUGGGCCAUUAAGUCUAGUGGAUUUGUCUUCCAUACUUUGUGCAACUUGUUUAUUUGCCAUUUGGUGCAUUCAUGCAAGGAAGCAACCUCCACCUGUAUUUUUUUCAUGAACCUUUCCUCAGUGAGCCAUUGCUUUCAAGGAGCAUUAACUGGCUGUCAAUAAGGAGUUCUAGUAAACUGCAUGAAGGAUAACUGGAGAUGGAAGACUCUAGUAAAGCAUAUUGCAGUGAUUUCACUUGACUGAAGUCAAGAAAUCUACACUGCCAUAUAAUGCCGUUUGAAACUGCAUUAUAUAGUUGGUGUAAAAGGUAAAGGUAAAGCAUUUCCCCUGACAUUAAGUCUAGUUGUGUCUGACUCUGGGGGUUGGUGCUCAUCUCCAUUUCUAAACUGAAGAGCCUCUUCAUCUUGGAAAAUUUGUUUUAAUAUAAUAUUAGCUAUUAUGUAUUGAAAAAGCUUUUGCAUUGUGCAGCUAAACAUCACCAACAACAACAAAAAUCUCUGUCCUUGAAAUAAAUGUGACCAAUUUGAAGACACAUGUGAAUACAGUUAGUAGUGAAUGAAUGUUAAAACAUUUAUAUAUACGUAAUGGAAAAUUUAGUGAGCUGAAGAUGUUUUCAAACACAUCUACUUAUGUGGACUAAAAAAAAUCUUUGCUUUCUCUCUAAAUUUAAUGCUCCAUAUUGGCUGAAGAUUAAGUAGUGCAGAACGGAGGAGGUUUCUAGCAGCUUUUAAUUUCCAUCUCCGUGGGGCAUGUAUUUCUCUGUAAAUUAUAAACCUUAAAGAGGAUAUCUAAAGCCUUAACCCUGUCCUUUAAAUUUCAGACUAAAACCCAAAGCAGAUUUGACCACCCACCUAUUGAUGGGUUUUACCUUUUUUAUUUAUUUUAUAUUCUGAUUGAACAUCUCUCUCUCCCUCCAAAAUUCUUGGUUUUUCUUAUAGUUCAUGCCUCCCUCCUUAUUUGAAGUCCUGAAUCUGAGCUAUACUAUUUUAUUCUAUGCUGAUCUGGGUUAAAUAAAUAAAUGCUGCCAACCUCAAUGUGAUUAAGGCUCAGCUUUUUAACAGCUUACUGUAUAAUGAUUUCACUGGACCCAGUGCAACUGCUCCAGGACAAGAGUGAUUUAAAGGCUUUAUUGUGCCAGGUCAAGAAACUGAGCACACCAAAGUCAGGAAAUUCUUAACCACUAAAUGCAUAUUGUGGUCAUGUUUUAAUUAUAUAUAUUAAUCACAAAAUCCCCCAUGGAGCAGCAAAGAGAACCAGACAGAAAAGUGCUAUGUGGAUGAAUUGCAUAUUCCUUUGGCUAUAGAGUUAGAUCCAAAUCUAAUCAUGUUUAAGAACCCAUUUAAAGGAAUGGGAAUUAAGUUAGUCUUGAUUGAGUUUCAAUGAGCUUCCCUUAAGCAGAGUCAUCCCCCACUUUUCAAUGGCACCUGUCCCAACCAACUGAAUUACUAGUAUAUCAAGAACCUGUAUAUUUGAUGCAUGGUCCACUCUUUUAGCAUAUAUUAAAAUAAAACCAAAAUAAAAUUCAACUGAUUUAAAAUACAUCUGAAUUAAAAAAUAAAACUAGAUUAAAAUGAAGCUGCAUUAAAGUGAAAACACAACAUUGGGUUCCAUAUUUUACCAAUUUCCAUUUUUUGACAGUACUUUGGUUCCUAACUUGUCCAAUAAGCAGGGGAUCUUUGCCAUGCUUGAUCUUGGUCAAAAGGCCAAGAAGCAAUGGCUAAGUAUGGAUGAAUGAAAUCUAUAGUGCUGUAUUUUGAGUCAUCUUCCAUGUUACAUUUUUGUUGUAUGCCUAAAACAGGAGUGGGCAAUUGCACCAGGAAUGGAGACCAAGUUUUGUGCUUUCCCACAUUGCAUUAAAUAAAUAUAAAAUUCAGCAUGCCUCCCCUUAUCCAGGAAUUGGAUAUCUAGGGUUUCCUUUCCCCACGCUCCAAAAAUAUUCGUCCCAAAAAGGAUUGGUAAGCUUCUCUAGGUCUUCUAGUGCAGAGCUUCUCAAACAUUUCCACUCAUGACCAGUUUUGGCCUAAGCUGAAGCAUCUUCUGCAGAGCCCAGUGUAAAUGCUACACAACACAUUUGUGCAAAUGUCUAAAACAGCCACUAGGUGAUGUUCUGAAACCUUUUACUGUUGCAAUUUUUUCAUGAUCCCAACCUUGAGCUAAAAGGCCCCCAUUUGUGUUUGGGACCCACAGUUUAAGAGGCAGUGCUGUAGCAUGAUUCUAUGACAUACUUCUGGCACACAUACCUGUAUGCACAUUGCAAUGGCACACUUGUUUGGCUGAAAAUACAGGUACUGCAGUGUACUUUCAGUGGUAAAUAGAUGUUGUGUGACACAUUAAUAUGCAAACCACCAGUACUUCAAGUGCUAGAAAACCCUCAUCCCCCCCCCCCCCAACACACACACCAUGGAAUGCUCUCCCCUUGGAAACCUGACCAGUGCCAAUGCUGGCCCUUUUUAGGCACCAAGUGAAAACAUGACUAUUUACCAACGCUUUUGAAGCCUAACUUUUAAACUUCAAAAUAUUUACAUGCAUGGUUUUAUAUGUUCAUAACUUUUUUGACCUAUUUUAAACUUGUCACUGUGUGUUAAUAUGUUUUUCCUCUAUUGUUUACAUUGAUUUAAAUUGAUUUAAACUGUUCAUAAAUUCUAACCUUCACGUCACCUUGAGAUCUUGCCAAAUAGAGUGGGAUGUAGAUAUAUAACUACAUAUCUAAACAACACUUCUCAGUACUCAGAAGCAGGGUGUGCAUGUGUUACAGCAGUUAUCCAUCCUGGAUGAAUCGGGGCUGGUAUUUCUUUAGAAAAACCUCGUAGCAGGCUUUGCAACCCUAUAAUCCCAGCCUUAUGCUUACAGUCCUGACCCUGAACUCCCUCCUUUUAGAUCUACAGAAAAGAUGUGCAUUCCACCUUCAGCUGACACAUCAAGUAACAAAAGCAUGGACAUAAAAAUAGCCUUUAACAGUUCAGCAGAAAUGCAAGAGUUGCAGGCUGUCCUUUUUAGGCCUGGUGGUCUUUUGAUGGCUAAAAAUGCUUUCAUAUUUAAUCCAUGAAAUGCAUGACUGAAGAAGAACUUUGCCAGCCUGAUUCAAUGGAAACAUUUCCUCCUGUUCUGUUAGCUUUAUGUACUGAAGGACAAUCAUAUUUUCAAGAUCAUGGAGAAGUUAGAUUUGUAGAUGACAAUAUCAGGUUAUUGGUCCUAACACUUGUAGUUUCCAAUCUUUCAUACCUUAUUUCUUCUUAUUCAAGGAAUUUUAUUCUAGGAAUUUUAGGCAUCUCACCUAACCAAGGAUUUCCUCUUCCUUGGCUCGGCUUGAUCCUUUUAGUCUCUGCUCCGUAUUCUUGGAAUUGCUUCCAGGAACAUUUGAGAACUGCUCCUUCCCUUGUUAUUUUUUAAUCUCAGGUAAAAAUGUUCUUGUUUUCCAAAGCUUUUUUGAGCUGUAGUUUAAUAUUGUUCUAUAAUCUUGUAUAUUUUGAUUACCUGUCUUGGUCUGUUUGAAUGAUAUUGUAUUGUAUUGAAUUUUAUCUGGAUAAUUUGUUUUACAAUUGUAUUGUGCAGAUUUAUGUUUUAUUAUUCUUUCCUUCCCUCUAUGUAUGUGUACACACAUCUAUUUUAGAUUGUAUGCCUUUGGCAGAACCCACUGUUUUAUUUUUUGUUUGUUCUACAGUAAAGUGCCAAUUCAGCUUCGUGGCACUGCUUGGAGUGCCAGGCCAGAAAGAAAUGCCUUAACAAUGAGCCAGACCAAUCAGCAGUGGGGCUUGCCAGCGCCUCAGGUGUUAGUGCCAACCUUGCCUGCUGGGAUAACAAAUUGGCCACUAAUAAAAUAAAAAGGACUUCUUGCAAGACUGAAGUACAGUAGAGUCUCACUUAUCCAAGCUAAAUGGCCCGGCACAAGCUUGGAUAAGCAAAUAGCUUGGAUAAUAAGGAGGGAUAAAGGAAAAGCCUAUUAAACAUCAAAUUAGGUUAUGAUUUUACAAAUUGAGCACCAAAACAUCAUGUUAUACAACACAUUUGACAGAAAAAGUAGUUAUGUUAUGUUGUAGUAAUGUUAUGUUGUAAUUACUGUAUUUACGAAUUUAGCACCAAAAUAUCAUGAUAUAUUGAAAACAUUGACUACAAAAAUGGCUUGGAUAAUCCAGAGGCUUGGAUAAGCGAGGCUUGGAUAAGUGAGACUCUACUGUACCAGGAAUUACAGUUCAGAAGGAUGACGGCAUCUUCUGCAUCAGGCCACAUCAUCCGCCUUCCUCCCUAUCCCCACCCCAAGGGGAAAAGGUCGGUCGCCUAUCUCUCCCCCCCCCCCCAAUUGUUUCCUGUGCAACAUGGGAAGCCUACUUUGUUGCUGGUGUGGUGACUUACAAUGCUUCCUCUUCAUUUGUGGUGCUGAGUCCCACCGGAAGUAGAUCAGCGCCAUGAGAUGGGAACCAGCAGAUUCUGUGCAGCAAGUGAAGUGGAAGUGAGGCUGUAGGUUGCUUCAAUUAGGAAAAUAGUGGGUUGAAAGAAGUCAUAUUUUUAAGCGUUUUAAUUUUUAUAUACAUUUUAUCAUGUUUUUAUCAUGUUUUAUCAUGUUUUAAUUGUUUUGUUUUAUAGUAUAUUUGUUGUUGGCCCUCGUGGCAGAAUGUAAGCCGCUCCAAGUCCCCUCGGGGAGAAGGGCGGGGUAUAAAUGCGUGUAAUAAAUAAAUAAAUAAAUGAAAUAUUUUCACUUUUAUUCUGUCUUGGUCAGACCUCACCUGGAAUACUGUGUCUAUUUCUGGGCACCACAAUUCCAGACAGAUAAGGACAAUUUGUAACAUGCCCGGGGAUGGAAACCAAAAUGGAAGCCAAGCCCUACGAGGAGUGGCUUUGUUUAGGUUGGAGAAGAGAAAGGAUAAGAGGGAACAUGAUAGUCAUAUUUAAAUUUUGAAAGGGUGCCAUGUUGUGGGUGGCAUGAGCUUUUUUUUUUUUGGCUAGGAUAUGGAUUAAUGGAUUCAAACUGCAGGAAAAGAGAUUCCACCUAAACAUAAGGAAAAAAAUUCUGACAGUAAGAGUUGUUUGACAUUGGAAUAUGCUGGUGUUAGUGGUGUCUCCCUCUCUGAAGGUUUUUUUUGGUAGAGGUUGGAUGGCUAUCUGUUUGGAGUGCUUUGACUAGUUAUUACUGUAUGGCAGGAUCUCUUCCAACUUUACUGAGGUUCAGGAACAAUAGGAAAACUUCCUUUUCCUAAAUACAGAAAGCUGAAACUGGGGGAACUAAUAAAAAAGUAAGUUACUCAUUUUUCUAACAAGUUACUUUGGCAGCUCAUUAAGAACUGGAUGCUCUGUCAACUUUGUGACACCUUCUCACUCAUGUGGAGCACUUUUACAUCAGUGUCCAGUAGCUGACACUGUGAAUAGGAAGUGUCAGCACAGAAACUAUUGAUAUGAUGAGUGUGGUAGUAGUUUCUGUAGCAGCAUCAAUUUAAUCUCAAGGCCUUCAUCGUUCUACUCAAAUUGUAAUUCUCAUUGGGCAACUGUUGACAUCCAAUAAAUGCAACCUAAAAUGAUCACAUCAUCAUUUAUCUGGAGGAGUAACUAUACCCCUUAGUUGUGUUUCCCAGAUAAUGGGAAAAUCCAUGAUCAAGUAACAGAUCUUUACAAGCAGGAAAGGAAUCGGUUUGAAAUGACCCAACAGCAGGGCAACGUGUUGCAACUCUGAGAGGGCCAUGCAAUAAGCAAUAAGCUCCAAGCGAAGAUAGGACUAAUGCAACAGUGUUGUGGUUUAACAGAAUAGUCAUUUGCAGACACUCCAUACUCUGCUUGCUUUAAUAACAAAUGCAGCUUACAUCUGUGCUCCUAUAUGCAUGCUCCACUGAAAACUUUGCAGAAUGAGUAUCAAAGAGCGAACCUGCAAUUUUACCCAUUACUCUGACACCAAAAUCAAUUUGACUGGAACUAACAAAGGGUGACUUUGUGAUUGUGAAGUAAUUGGAAUUCUUUGGCUUAUAGAAUUUUGCAAGAAGAAGAAAAUCAUUUUGAAAUUCACGUGCGCGCGCACACACACACACACAAACACAUACACAUAACAACAACCCUAUAUGAAUUUGCAGGCUAAAUGUUUGAUUGCUACUCACCUUGGAUUUGUGUAUUUAACAAAAUACUUUUAACUGACAUUUACAAAGCAUUACAGGAAAUAAGCCUCUACUAUACACUGUCCAACUUUGAUCCUUGGCAGCAUUCAAUAUGGGCCAUGUAUUUAAAAUCACUGGCAAGCACCGUUAAGACAGUAUCCCAUUAACCUGGUUGUUUGGGUAGAGGCUUAUUUCUUUAUUUAGAGAAUUUUUACUGUUUUCAUUCACUACAAAGGCAGUCAGAGCGGUUUACAAAAUUUAAAUUUUAUUUCAAGUUUAGAAUGUACAUCAGAUCAAUAAUUAUGACAUCUAUACACAUAAUAAAAGUGAAAAUCUGAAUGUGUGUAUAUGGCAGAAGUGCCAAUUUACACAGGCAGGCUCCCACCUCCACAAACAGCUACAACUCCCAGUGCUGAGGAGCCACUAAAGGCACUCCAUCCAAGGACAUUGCGGGUUAUAGCAGCUGCCACGAACGUGUCCAAGAGCCCUGCCAAUGUCCUCUGCAAACAACAUACUUCCCACCACCCAAGUGAAGGCUUUCAGACGGGGACAAUUGCACCAUAGAUUUUCUGUUUUUCCUCCACCAAAGACACCUCCCAGGGUUCCUUUCUCUCUCCAUUGGUGUGGAAUUUGCAUGAGCCCACCCACUGCCUCAUUGACCUUGAUUUAUGGGAGUUAUAGUUCAACUGCAUCCAGAGAAACUGUGCCUCCAACUGACAAUGGACUGGGACCAAACUUGGCACAGAGAAGCCCCAUGACCAACACAACAUACCACAGGAGUUUGUGGGAAUUGACCUUGAUUUAGGGAGUUCUAGUUUGCCCUUAUUCAGAGAGCACUGAACCUAGCCAAAAUCAGAUCUGCUCCAAACUUGGCAAACAGACCUGACAUGGCCAACUGUGCAUACUGGCCUGGUUUGGGGGUGAUUGUCCUUGGUAUAUGGGAGUUGUAGUUCACCUGCAUCAAGAGAGCACUGAACCCAGCUGACGUUAGAUCUGGACCAAACUUGGCACACACACCCAACAUGGCCAAUUUUGAAUACUAGUGGGGUUUGGGGUGACUGGCCCACAAUUUUGGGAAUUGCAGUUCACCCACAUUUUCUAAUUCAUAAAAAAAACCACAGGAAAGACGGGCUUUUCCCCAAGAAAUAGAACUACAAAUUAUCUAACACCCCACAACAAACAACACCUUUUUCAAAUAACCUGGGCACUGCCGGAUCCCCAAGCUAGUAAAUUGUAAAUGCUACAGCCAGUCCUAUAUGUCUUGUGGGUUUCAAUUUUGCGGAUUUGCUUAUUCACAGAUUUGAUAAAUAUGUUCUCUCUAGGAAUCUAGGAAUGGGGCCUCCGGUGGCGCAGUGUGUUAAAGCGCUGAGCUGCUGAACUUGCAGACCAAAAGGUUGCAGGUUCAAAUCCGGGGAGCAAAAUGAGUGCCUGCUGUUAGCCCCAGCUUCUGCCAACCUAGCAGUUCGAAAACAUGCAAAUGUGAGUAGAUCAAUAGGUACCGCUCCGGCGGGAAGGUGACAGCGCUCCAUGCAGUCAUGCUGGCCACAUGACCUUGGAGGUGUCUAUGGACAACGCUGGCUCUUCGGCUUAGAAAUGGAGAUGAGCACCAACCCACAGAGUCGGACAUGACUGAACUUAACGUCAGGGGAAACUUUUACCUUUACUAGGAAUCUCUGGAAGAUCUAGAGACUUCUAGAAAAGUGUUCUUUCCAGUAAUAAAAUACGCUUUUAUUUGCAGUUUUUUCCAGUUUUGCAAGGAUCCUGAGUCCCUAACCCCAUAAAUGUGGAGGGCUGACUCAUAGUAUCUCAAGGGUUGUGGUAGGAUGAACUUGGCCAGAAGAGCUUCCAGAAAGGGCAGAUAUUACUAGAUUUUUUAUUUCAUUGAAACAUAGAGGUGGAAAACAUUGCAAGGGUCAUCCAGACCAAUCCCCUGCUAUCUUUAUCCCAAGAAGUAUAGCCAAGAACUGAUAAAACCUCUCAUUUUUAAGGUUAGACAAAAAUGAAAGGCAUUAAAUGAGAAAACAGAUUCAAACCAAGCACUGAGUUAAAACAGUUCAGAAACAUUUAAAAUGCUACAAAAAGGGAGAAAUACAGCCUGUAUACAUUCAUUUAAAGAGCCUUCCACAGCAAUUGGUUAAUGGCCUGAAGACUCUUGGAAAUAUCUAUCUAUCUAUAAUCUGUCUAUAAAAAUAUCUCUGCCUGCCAGUGGAAGAAGAAAGAGGAACCAGUCUAGCCACCUGUGAUAAAUGCUCCCAAUGUUGGGAUGUUUGAAGAUUUGAUCUUUCCGAUUUAAAAAUGACCUUAGCUGUGUUCAUCUGACAUGGGCAUCAGAACCCACCUGUCUAGUUUUCACUACUCCCAAUUAUUCCAAAUCUUGAGGGGGAUUUCAGGGGAAUACACUUAUAAACUUGCUUUUACAUGAAAAAUUUGUGGAGAUUUUCUUAAAAAGCACAAUAAUUUAUAAUCAGAUGGAAAAUAGCUCUGUGUGAUCGUACUGAAAAGUGAGGCCGGCUAGAAACAAGACAGAUUCAUACAUCACGAGUCUAAUGGGCUGCAUUUCUCUUUCUAAGAGAAACAAAUAGCAGCCAAUAUUCUCAAAUAUAAAUUCUAAAAUCCGCACAUGAUUAAAAGCAACACUUAACAAAUGCUUCUCCAUUGACUGAUCCCACACAGCCAUGAUAAGUAAAUAAAACAUGGACUACCAAGCAAUUACCCUGGAUCCAAAAUCCAUUAAUUUCCUGUCCAUCUCUUCGUAUGGCAAAAUACACUUUGCUGACAUUUACACAGCAUUACAGGAAAUAAACCUGGCAUGUAUCACACUUUCUCGUUUUGAUCCUUUGCAGGCAUUCAAUGCGGGCCACAUAUUUAAAAUCCCUGGCAAGUGUUCUUAAGACAGCAUCUCGUUGUGUAUAUUUUAGGAAGCACAAAAAUUGGAUGACCUUGAGCAUCCUGAAAAUGGGAUAUGGAAGCUGAAAAAGGUAAUGUGAGGUAACAUAAAUACAGCAGCCUGCCAUCCCACUGUUGUGCUUUAAGGGCUUAAACUGAAUUUGGAUCAUCUCCUUCUCAAACUUUGCACAUUACUUUUGCAAACCUCUAAAAAUAAAAAUAGUAGGAAACUAGUCUGCCACUUAGACAGUAUGAAUUGUGACCAUCUAGCAGAAGGAGGGUAAAAACAAAGUAGAGUUUAGAAAAUGAUGCAGAUGUUAACAGAGUAACAAGACUGAGAGGAGAAGGGGCGAGAUUUUGCCCAACACAAUAGACUUGGGCAAAAGCAAACUGCUGCAGAUUCUCCUAUCUUGUGUGCUCUUCUUCAACUUUUGCCAUCUUGACCACUGUUUAAUGUUGCUUGGCUACCAGAUGCUCAUCUGUGAAAUACCACUACCUGAGAUUAUUUUUUCCAGGAAGUUAAUUGGGUUCCAUCAUAAAUCUGAAAGCACAGUGGCUAAGGUAAGGUGGCAGGAGCUCCAACGUAAGAUAAGAUACCUUAGAAGUAGGUCCUGGAAUAAAUUUCAAAAUCCACAGGCAGGCAACAGCUUUUUUUGAAUUAUUUACAGUUCCUCAGCAGUAUGCACACUGUUUAGUUCUGGCAAACUUUGCAUUAGAGUAGGUAGUGAAAAAUUUAGGGCUUUGAAUAUGAAAUCAUGUGGGUCCAAACAUUAAGUAAAUACGGGUGCACUGCACACAGACCCCAAAUGUUUUUUGUAUUGUUGCUUAAACUAUGUCCAAGCUCAAUCAAGCUUUCAAGCUCUACGUUAUGGUAGCACAUUAAUGAGUGACAGCUAUACAGUGUUGGGGCUUGAUAGAUUGCAUCCUAAAUAUACAGCCUGAGUCAUGGGAAAUAAGAUAACCAGGUCAAGAGGACCUCUAAAACAUGCAGUAUUUUUCCCAUAUGUCCAGAACUCAGUCACUAUUUGGAAUAGCUAUACUUUAGAAUUAGAAGGUCAGUAUUGUGUGAGUAAUAGUUAUUGCUUUUAUGAUUAUGUUCAUGGGGUUUGAUGAGCAGGCUUAAAUACUGUAUUUCUUCAAUUUUAAGAUGCACCCUAAUUUCCGUACCACCAACCACACCAAAAUACAUAAGAUACACCUGCAAUUCUAAGACACACCCCAUUUUCUGAUAUGCUUAUAAAGUGCAGCUUUGAAUUGAAGGAAUACAGUACUGGCUACAGUUGACUUUGAGCAUUAUGUUGCAUACUUUAUUAAGGAACUUGUAAUUUGUCUUUCUACUUCCAGAAUAGAUGUGUUUUGCAGAGUCAAGGCUAUAAAACUAACAGUGAAACAAUAGUAAAUCCAUACCAAUUAAAACCAUGCUGACAAAACUAAGCAAACUUAAAAAACAGCAAUUAAAAAAAAAACACCAAAACCAGAAAGAGGUAAGGGAAAACAAAAGAGAUCAUGCACAGCCAUGCAUGCUGCUCCGGGGGAAAGAAGUAAACAAAUAAGCAAAUAAAAGGAGGAAACCAUGAAAAUGAACAAAAUCUGGCUUCCAGUAUUUAAAAAAACUCUAAAAUCAGGACAUUAAUAAAGAGCAACUCUAUUAAAAAAAGGAAUUCCAGACAGGAAACAAUCAGGGCCAGGUAACACCUCCCAACAAAGGAUUCCCCCAGGCGGGAAGCAGCCAGGCUUUGAAGCUGCAAGACCAUUCAAUGCAGAUCAUGGUGGCCAAUUGCAACAUUCACACUUGCCUCAAACAGACAAGAGCUCUUUCUCCCACCAUAGACAUUCCACAAAUAUAUAAACCUCACUUGCCUAGUUUCCAACAGACCUCACAACCUCUGAGGAUGCCUGCCAUAGUUGUGGGCGAAACAUCAGGAGAGAAUUCUGCUAGAACAUGGCCAUACAGCCUGGAAAACUCACAGCAACCCAGUGAUUCCAUCCAUGAAAGCCUUCGACAACAAACGAAAAGUUAGUUGAGAAAGACAAGUCUUGAAAUAAAAACUUUCAGUCAUGCCUUCUGGGAGGAAGUUUCUCAUUACGGUGCCACUGCAGAAGAGUCUCUCUCAUAUAUCUUCAUCAUCCAUAUCUUAAAUAGCAGAAGAAUGUGUGUAAAAGCCUACUUUUAAGCUGAAAAGGUUUGAACACAUAUGUCAGAAAAUAGAGAAGAAAUUCCACAGAAUGAGAGAUGAAUUCUGUCUACUUUUUCUUCAAGUUAGGACACAUGGUGAUAGUGGACUUGGGAGUUGUUGAAACCAGAAAACUCAAAUCUCAUAAAGGAUGUGGUAGAAUUAAUAUUCAAUUCUGUUUUAAUAUUUAUCAUUUGUGGGUUUUUCAAUUGAAUACUUUUUAGGGUUGUGAACCACUUUGGGUCUUGGCCAUAAGAGAAGAGGAGGAGGAAGAGGAACCAAACCCUAUACGUUCUUUUUUCGAUUCUAGGGUGCACUUCCUCCCACAUGUAAACAUCUCUGAAAAUGGGAUGCAUCUGAGGAUUGUGGAUACUUUUUAUAUAUUAAUAAAGUUUUUCUUCUGUUGGUGGUACUGAAAUUAAUGUGCACUUUACAGUCAGUGGCAUCUUAGAAGCAAAGAAAUAUGGCCCUUAUGUAUUGUGAACACCAGCUUGUUGGAGUCACGGGGGAGAGGAAACACGUUCAGAAUGGCCUCUACUCUUCAACCAUUUUGUGUGCCUCUGAUCUAAAGAAGAGGACUGAAGUGUGCUCAUUGUGAGGUGCAAUCUGCUAUAUUUCCUUCCAGAUUUGGGGAAGCUUAACGAGACUUUAAUUCAAAAGAUCAUCUGAUGAGGCCGAUGCAGUGGGGUAUUAGCAUUUGUAUUUAACCCUCUUCCCCUGUGGUUUUGCUCAUAAGCUCUAUGUGUCUGGGGCAAGCAGCACGCCAGCUUUAGGAUGCAAAUCUUCUGUGUGAUUCUAAGUUGAUUCUUUACAAUUAAAAAGCUAUUUCAUUUAAGCAUCCUGAACCACUAACAUGUUUCAAAUCCUCUUCAGGAAGUUAGAUCAUUAAAACUAGUAUGAGAGCAAUCUCUAGAAAAGCCCUCGGCAUCUUUCAUUAAUAUAGAUUGCAUUUCUCGGUAGAAACGGUGUAGGCUUGCAGUUUAUUUAAGGCAAAUGUUGUGUGGUUUCUAACGCUAACUCGUAUAUCAGCUUAUUCUAACAUGUCUGGUUAUUUCUGAAGGAAUGUAAGACAUAAAUAGAAGUAAUUUUUAAAAAUCUACGAUAUGCAUUGAGUAUAAUGCCUACCAUUUUUCAUUUUCUGUAAUUGUUUUACUAAUGUCCCUGUGGUUAAAGGAUUAAAACAUGAAUUUCAGUAAUGAUCUGAAAGGCAAUAUAUUAUGUAGAAGGGUAUACAACUCUUAAUCUUUCUCUUUCUCUCUGGAACUGUCAUUUAUAUUAGAGCUAAUGUGGGCUAUGACUCUGGGGACCAGCGUUCAAAUCCCUGAUUGGCAAUGGAAACCCACUGGCCAAGUCACUCUCUCAGUCUCAGGAAGGCAAAGACAAAACGCCUCUGAACAAAUAUUACUAAGAAAGCCCGGUAAUUGGUUUGCCAAAGGGUAUCCAUACGUCAGAAACUAUUUGAAGGCACACAACAAUAAUUUCUACUUACAGGGAUUUUCUCUGUUUUCCACAGUGAAGAAAUUGCUCCCAGUUUUGCUGAAACAGUGCCUAAAUAUGUAAGUUAAUGUUAGUUGUGACUUGUAGUCCAAAUUCCUUAGGGAAACUCGUAUUUUGAAAAGAAACCUUAAUCAUAAAAGCAGUACUUGCCGUAUGCCUAAUGAAAUACUGUAGUCAAGCUCUUUCUUGCAGAAUUAUCUCAUCAUCAUCAUCAUCAUCGGCAGUCACUCAUGGCUGAGUAUGAUUGCCUUCCUAAGGUAGAGCCUUGACGGUGGGUCCAUAAGUGACUGUAGAAACCUAUUCUGGAUCUGCGUGGACUUUCGCAGUGAUAACAUUUCCAGAUGGAAAGUGGUCCCGACAAUGGUUUACUUGACACAAAAUAUGUAUAAAGGUUAAAAGGCUGUGCGAUUACUUUAAAACAAAUUUAUUGUGGAUUGCACCUAGGUAUUCAAAAAUGUGGAGGCUCUGAAUCAGAAAUUAGCUAAUUACUCUAUCCAGUCUAAUAUGUUAAUUAAUUUAGGUUUACAUCUCCAGAGGCCUUCAGAGUCCCUUUUUUUCUCCUCUUGGCAGCCUUCUUCACUUUCAGGCAAGCUAUCCCAUAAAAUGGGAGGUUGCUUCCAAGAUACAUUUCCCUGAGGUGAACUUUCCCAAAUGCUCCUGGCACCAUAAGGAACUGUUCUGUGUUUGUGCGUGACAAAAAAGGCUUAUAAAUACUUGCAGAACCAUAAAGAGGUUCUUUAUAUUAUAAUCAUAGCUGGCUUUGUCACAAGGUCUCAAGAUUGAAAUAGAAAUCAUAAAUAAAACAGCACCACAUGAAAUUCCUAAUUGAAUGUGGAAUCUUAAACAGUGGAAGUAUAUGUUCUACAUGGCCUUGUCUUCUCAGUUGAUCAUGUUAUAAUAUUGGCACCGCAGCCAAAAAAACCCUGCUUUUCAUAGUCAUUACCCAUAACUCUGUUGGUAAAACCACAAAGAGAUCUUAUCCAUAUAUACUUGUGACUUUCAUCUUAACUUGGGGUGUUUGAGAGGGUGUUGUAUGGUGGAAGACACAGGAAAAAUAAUAAUAGUAUAAUAUUAUACUUUAUUUAUAUUCUGCUUUAUUUCCCCGAGGGGACUCAGAGUGGACUAUAGAAUACAUACAAGGCAAACAUUAAAUGCCAUCAUAAUUAACAAUAAAGACAGACAAUAGACAGAGGCAAGGCUUUUUCAUCUUCGACAUCUGGAGGCUAUUCUCCACUCGGCCAUAGGGAGGUGCUGUUGUUCCAUUUUCCACGCCGAGGAGGACAUUAGUAAUUAACAUCUUGGAUACUAGUUCCUAAUUAUGCCAAGAUAUUUCAGUCUUCCAGGUAGAAGGCUUCUCUGUCUUUUAAUAGUGACAGAUCAAGUUAGUGAAGACACAUGUGCCCUCUACGUAUCAGGAAAAUCACCCUUUCUUAAUACUUUCAUGGUAUCCACUGGACUUGAUUCCAAGAUCUCCAAAGGAUACCAAAAUGUGUGGAUUUUCAAGACCCAUAAUGUACAGUGGCAUAGUGUAGUGAUGCCCAUUAUAUAAGAUGGCAAAACCAUAGGUCGCUUUUUGGUUGUUUUGUUUUAUGGAAUAUUUUCGACCUGUGGCUGGUUGAAUCUGUGGAUACAGAAUAUGUGAUUUGGGGGACCAGUUGUACUUCAAGUGCCCUUACGCUGUGUCAUAUAGCAUUGAUUUAUGGUUGAGAGCAGAAGUUGUGCAGAUCUUGCAGUCUUAUAAGUGCCUAGCUUGGACUGUUACUUUUGUUUUGAAUCUCUAUAAAUAAAACAGUGAAGUGGAAUGGUACACUCCCAGUUCAAAAUGAAAACUCUCUUUCAUUGUAUAGGCCUCCUUUCAGAACAGUUUCUAUUGUCUAUAACUGUAGAAAUUGGCUAAAAACACCUUUGGCAAAGGUGUGGUGGAGAGAAAAUACUGAAACAAAAGAAAGGUGGAUGUGUGAGUUUGUAAAGAGAAUGCAUCUCUCAUGAGACAUCCUUAUUUUUAAGAAGUAGGGAGAGUAGGGGAAAAAAGGUUCACUGAAAGAAGCAAACGUGCAGAAGUGUUAAAGCUGUAUUUGUUAGAUCUGUAAGAAUUUUUAUUGAAAUUGAAAGGACAUCUGCUAUUUUUUUGAAAAUAUCUACAAUGAUGCAUGGUAACCUUUUAGCCAACACAUCCAAUGAGCAACACAGAAAUGCACAUGUUAAGAUGAAUAAUGAUUUAAAAGUUUUCAUGCUGCAGAUAGAAAGGUUUGAUCAUAUAUUGUAUGUAUGUAUAUUAAAUAGUUGAGACACUGCAUCUUCAACAGAAUUGUAUAUUUGCAGGCUGGCUGGCCAAGCAGUAAGGCACAAUUUUUCAAAAACCACAACAAAUAGCCUGUAAGCUCUAGCAAUAAACUGCGAUAAUGGUGUUAAAUCAGGCAUGGGAAAACUUACAGCCAUCAGGAAUUGUGGGAGUUGAAGUCCAAAACACCUGGAGGGCCAAAGUUUGCUCAUGACUAUGUUAAAUAGACUGGGCAUUCAAAAAUUCAUAAAUGGAGAAAGAAAGAGGUACCAUUGCCAGUUCUGAAAAGCCUAGAAAAACUAUGUUUUUGAGGCUAGAUUUUAUAAUAAAAAGUUUUAAAUCCAUGAACAGAUCCAAACAAAAAAUCCUGAAACAGUAUAGUUAACUGUUAAAGCUAAUGUGUAAAUAAAUAGGUUCGAUUCAGAUUUGGUCAAGCUUCGAGCUGCCCUUUCGAAAUUAAUAGUCACUUCUCUCCCACUUUAUUGAUAGAUUGUGAUAGAAGAGGCAAAUUGAAUAUAAAUCAGUGAUUUAUAACAUUUUUUUAAAAAACUGGAAGAUUUUGGACUUACUCUUGGAGCCGUCAGCACUGUAUAGAUUAAGAAGGGAGCUAUGUUGUACAAUACCUAUUGAUGAUUACUCCCUUAAAAGUCUGGAUUAUUAAUGAUAGAUAAUGAAUUGGUUCUCUUUGUGGAUUCUAUAUAUAGGGAUUGAACCAUCAGAGUUUUGAACAAAGACAUAAGACCAGACCAGGCUCUUAAAUUCAGCAAACACUUGCUGACAGCCACAGAUGCAAAAACAUCCUUGCACUUGCCUUGAAAGGGGUCAUGGCUUUGCAUCUAUUUCAUGAUCGUGUUUCUUCAUGUCAUGCAGAAUGCUGCUUUCAAUCUACAGAUCAAUCAGCAGGGGUCAGGGGACUAUCUCCUUUUAUAUGAGCCCCCUCCUCCCUUUAUUUCAGGGUUGUGGAACAUGCAUUCCUUCAGAUAUUGUUGGAUUGCACAUUCCAUCUGCCCUAGUUGGCAUUAACACCUAGUUGGUGUUAAGAAAUGUCAGGACCAGAUAACUUCAUAAUAGCAGCAACAACAGUAGUGUUUGGUGACACAGGUGGAAGAUCUUUCAGAGACAACAGUCCUGCCAGUUUAGUCACACUUACUAGUACUGUGCAGAAAGAGGCAUUGCUAAGCAACUUCUGAAUGUGUUUACCAUGAAAAACUCAUGAUGAGACAAUUCAGAAUGAAACACUUCGUAUCAUCAUAUUCUGUCCUUCUCAAUUUUUAUUUCUUUCCGUCUCCCUCUUUGUUUCUUGUCUUCAUCUUUUGUGCUUAGUCUUUCUCUCAUUCUCUUUCCUUUACUCAUUCUUUUCUUUUCCUCUCCUUUGCUCGCCACACAUUCCUCUCUCACAUCUCCAAUUCCUCUCUUUAUUUCUUAUCCAAUUUUUUUUAAACACCUCUAGUGGAGAAUUUAUAAAAGAGAGAUUCUUCUUUCCAAGGAGCAACCCGCACUUGAAUAUCCCCACCCCAAUCCUUCAUUAUAAUUUUUAAGCCUCCUUUGGCAACUGCUUUGGCUGGAGAUCCCAGACACCAGCUGUAUAAUCAUCUUUACUAAAAGAAUUAGUUUUGAUUUUUUUUAAAUGGUAAAGAUGCUCUGUUCCAUAUUUUUAGUACAUGACUGAGUAGAUAACAUAAAACCCAAAAUUUCUUUGGAUUGUGGCCACAGAAGAUACAGAAAUAACAUUGCCUUACACAAAAGUUUAAAUCUGGACCAUUCCUUAAUUACAUGGAUCUAGAUGAUGCUUUAUCUGUUGAUUCCACAUUAUUUGAGAUGAUACAAAUAUUUCUGAGUAGUAGUCCUUUCCUUUGAGGAUGGAGCAUUGUUAUUUAUGAUUGUGCAAAAUCCCUCUGGUCACACAAGGCAGGGCAGUACCUCUGGUCCCUUUAUUUUCCUCCUGGUCCCAUUUGUUAGUUAUAAAGUGGACUCCUUCUUGACAUGCAAUUUAAAAGAAUUGAUGGCUUUUGAGAAGGCAGACCCCAGGAUAACAAAGGGCUCUGGCUAAAAUAUAUAGUUAUCUGACAAAUGUAGCAUUCCCAAGGACUGAAAUCAAGCAGUUUCAGCACAUUCCUCGCACAUUUCUCAGAUAUUCCCUUGUGACUCUUUAUAGAUUAACUCAGGUAGACAGAAGAGUGCCCAUAUACAUCACUCAGGUAGACACUUAGUACAAUUUUAGUUUUAACCCCAGGUAAGGAGAUAUUUCACUUUUGAUACAUUCCCAUCAUUUCAGGUUAAGAAACCAUUUCUGAUUAAUUCGCCAAGGAUCUAUUUUUGGGCCAUGUAACAAUGGAAUCAUAAACCAUUUGAAAACUAUUUAAUUUUUUAAUUUUGUUUCUUUAUUUCAACAUGGAUUCAUUAUGGACAUAUUGUAACAUUGAACUGGAUAAACAUGAAAUCAAUAAAGUGAUUCCAUGUUUCGGUUUCUCCGGACAUUAGUCUGAAUUUUAAAGGAGGUUUGUAAGGAACCAACCCUGAUUUGAAGUUAGUCGUAGGAUACCUUGGAGAGCUCCUUAAAAAUUCUGACUAUACCUUGUAAUGUAUUUACCACUCCAACCGCUCCCAAGAAACAAAUAAACCAGUGUCUGGUAUAUUAAAUCAUUCAAAGAAAUAUUAUCUAUUAGCUGAAAUGUUAAUGACUGCUAAUUAAAAUGAUUAACAAUCAGAACAUAGAAGCGAUGCUAUAUGUUAUGGUCACCAUGGGUGUACCACUGAAAUUGAUGAAUGAUAUGGCUUGCUAUUGUGAUGCACCACAUCAGCCAGCACUGCCAUUUUGGAUGGUUUCCAAUAUCUGGUAGUGGCAGCUGGUGAUGCUGAGUAGAAGGGAGGAAAUUUGCAAUAUAGUGAUCCUCUUGGGGUGCCUUCUUCAAUGUCACAGCAUUGUCUCUUUUCUUACUCCAGAAAGUAUAACAAUCUAACUCUGGUCCAAAAUAGCAAGAUGGUGCAUGAGGCUGAGAGCUCCUUCUCGUGUUAUCCUGUGAAGGUACCCUGACAUGCAUUCAUGAUUUGAAAUCAAAAUAUGUGAUGCACAUAAACACCCAGGAUCUUGGGAAAGAACAUCACCUUGGAUGCUCUGCUGGUGCCACUUUCUUUUUCAGAAGGACUCUACUUCUCCUACUUUGCUUUCUCCCUCUCUGCUGAGUUGUUCUGUUUCUUUUCCUGGGCCCCUGUGAAACUUCACCCACUAUCUUACCAGGUGGAAAAAGAAAUCAGCCCUUUUUCUUAUUUUGUUUUUUAAAGACAUUUAGUCGUUUGCACUGUACAGCAAAAUGCUCACUGGGGAGGCUCCAGCUCCAUGGCCUAUUUUUACUUCAGAGUGCCACAUGUGGCGUGACUAAGGGCAUGUUUGCACCACAUGUGGUGGAUAUAUUCAUAUGGAUAUAUCAGUUAUGGAUGCUUUAGGAUAUGGCCUGCACGUAUCCUAAGGAUAUGGCAUGCACGUAUCCUAAGGCAUCCAGAGAUUUGCAACCUGAUGAAAUAUUUAGAAUUUUCUGUUAGAGAGUUCUAGUGGCUUUUCUGCAUAAAAUUAAAACCACUAAAUCAGAGUUUCUAAAAUUUUGUAGCAGGGUACUUUGAUGGUUAAAGUGACGUGAAACUGAUUCAACUACAAAUGGGUGACAUGUGUUUGUUUUCAUGUGCCUUCAGGUCCCCUGUUGACUUAUGGGGAGCCCGUGAAUUUCAUAGGGUUGUCUUAGGCAAAGAAUACUCAGAGUUUAUUUUGCCAGGUCUUUCCUCAGUGGUUCUCAACCUUUUUUGACCAGGGACCACUUGACCAGGGCUCACUUGACCAGAGACCAUUUUGACCAGGGACCACUCUCCAACGUUAGUACCAAAAGACUUACAAAUCAGUUUUUGGUCAACUUUAGAUUUGGUUUGCUUAUUUGUGAUGCUGAUUCAGAAAAUGCAUUGGAUAGACCGUAUCAGCUCUAGUUUCUGAAACAGAACAUAUGCCAUCCAGUAGUCGGCAUCUGCUCACUCACAGAAAACCAUAUUUAAUAAUCUAGAGCUGAUGUGGUCAGCUUUGUGGAAAGCUCACUCACAGAAAACCAUAUUUAAUAAUCUAGAGCUGAUGUGAUCACCUUUGUGGAAAGGGGUGUAAAUAAAAUUAAUUAAAUAAAUAAAGAGUAAGGAGGUUCGCAGACUGGAUUUUCAUUCUCAUGGUCCACUGCUGGGCCAUGGCCCACAGGUUGAGAACCACUGAUCUAAAAUAUAGCCUACAAUAUGGCCUGGUAUUCAUUUGCAAUCUACUAUCCAAGACCUAACAAGGGCUGACCCUGCUUAGUUUCCAAAAUCAGAUGCAAUCUAAAAAUUAAAAAAAAAUGUUCUGAAAGAUAUAAGAGAUGUCAAUCCUAAUGUGUGAUUUGCCCACACCAAAUAUUGCCACUGUGAUUGUUUUUGCCAUCUUCUCUUUCAUCUGCCACCUUCUCUUUCAUGGGUCAUGGGGUUGUUUGGAACAGGGUUAGGAUGUCUUGUUCCCAAAGUCCAGUCUGAGCAGAGUCACAAGACAAUUUUAGCAGAUUUCUCAUCACUAUGGAAGAAGUCACCAGCAAAUAGGUUAUCCUCAUGAGACGGCUGUUCUGCAUUCUAUAUAAAGAACCCUUCCAAGGAGUGUCUGUAUGUUGUGGAAAUAGAUCAGCAUAUUAGGAAGGAGCAGCUUGGAUAGAAGCCCUUAAGACUGACUCAGGAACCCAUGUGGGAUCAGUGCCCAUCCUGAGAAUAGCUUUUAUGACUUUAAAGGCCAGCCCCACUCAGUAUUUAUUAGAUUUUCCUGUAAUGAUUUUACAGAAGGAAAAUACGUUAGUUUAGUUACAAUAAAACACAGUUAUGUUUUCAGAAUUAAAGGAGAUGAUGUUCUGCUGAGAGCACAGAAUAGUCCUCAUGUGGGAUUGUGAUUCUGAUUUGUGUUACUCUGAGCGUGUGGAACAAAAAUACAACUUUUCCAAGCUCUUGUUUCUGCUAAAACAGAAAACUAGGUAAGCCUGGUAGAUAGAUCUUCAUAGCCUUCUAAAUAGAAGCAAUGAAAUUCAGUACUAACUAAGCUACUGCAGUUCCAUGCACAUUAAAUAGAGAAAACUCGGGAAAGCAUUUUUCAAUAAUGACAGACUUUCGCUUUAAUCUUAAGUUCUCUGGCCUGCAAUCAAUUCUUUUUGUUUGUAGGAAUUUUUUAAUAGAAUUUCUUUUGCAAAACACAAUUGUUUUAAUGGAUUGUAGCCUAAGUAUACAGGAUCAGAACUUUAUUGAAAUCUGGCCUCAUGCUAUUUAUUCUUCUUUUCAUAUAUUGACAUGUUUUAGGUCCAAUUCCAUUUCAGAGGCUUUGAGAAGUUUGCAUGUAUAUUGAAAGUUUAUAUUGGAAGAGGACAUGGUAUUAGAUAAAUAGAGACUUAGUUGUAAUUUAAAAUGUGUUUGCAAGUUAUGGUUACUGAAGACUGAUUGAAGUGCUUGUUAGAUACACUUUGGAUACCAGGAAAGUUGUAAUAUGGUACACAUUGAGUAUCCAUUAUGUGAAAUGUUUGGGACUAGAAGAGUUAAGUAUUUUGGAUUUUUUUAGAUUUGGGAAUAGUUGCCUAAACAUAAGGAGAAACUCUAAACGCAAAAUCCAUUCAUCUGUCACAUGCACCUUAUACACAUAGCUCAAAGGCAAUUUUAUACACAAUAUUUGUAUUAUUUUUUGCAAAUAAAACAAAGUUUGUGUACACUGAACCAUCAUACAGCAGCCAUCCACAUGAACAAUUUUGUUUUUGAAGUAUUUGAAUUUCAAAAGCCCAGAUAAGGGAUAGUAAGUUAAAGGUAAAGGUUUCCCCUGAGGUUAAAUCCAGUCGUGUCCGACUCUGGGGGUUGGUGCUCAUCUCCAUUUCUAAGCCGAAGAGCCAACGUUGUCCGUAGACACCUCCAAGGUUAUGUGGCUGGCAUGACUGCAUGGAGCGCCGUUACCUUCCCGCCGGAGCGGUACCUAUUGAUCUAUUCACAUUGGCAUGUUUUUUAAUUGCUAGGCUGGCAGAAGCUGGGGCUAACAGUGGGCGCUCAUUCCGCUCCCCGGAUUCGAACCUGCAACCUUUUGGUUCUCAAGUUCAGCAGCUCAGUGCUUUAACACACUGCGCCACCGGAGGCCCCUAGAUAAGGGAUACUCAACCUAUAAUACUUUUAUAAUAUGAAACAUCUAAGAAGCUUUGGGAGUAAUUAUGAAAAGAGCUUAUUAUUAUUGUGGCCUUGAAGAAAGUUUGGGUUGAUCAUUGCAGAAGAAUUUGGUAUCCUAUUAGCCUCAAAGUAAAGUGAUUGAGAUUUAUUUCCUUUCUAUUGUUUAUGUGAAACGAUUCUGCAGUCAACUUUAUAGCAGUGAUAUCAAUAAAAACAUUAAAACUUUCUGUUCUUGUUUCUGGAAUUACAAUAGAGAGAUGAUGGUUAGAGCCUCCCAGACAAAGAUCUGUAUUGUCAUCACCCAAACAACAGUGUUCUCAUAUAUUUCCUUUUUUCCGGGGCCUGUCAACAUGAAAUAACCCUCUCUACUGAGCUCAAGAUACAAUCAAGCCAUUUGUUAGCAAACCCUUACAUCCCGAGACUGUGUUACUGUAUUGACCUAGUCUAUGAUAAGAUGGAGAUUAUAAAAAGGUCAUUCUUCUGAUGUCUGAAUAGCAUGCUUCAAAGAAUAGUAGGAUAGGCUGCAUCCUUGAGGCCCUGAUUAAGAUCCCAACUACACUACCAUAUAAUGCACUUUGAAACUGUAGUAUAUGGUCAGUGUAGACUCAGAUUAUGCAGUUCAGUGCAGUUAAACUGCAUUAUAUGAAUCAACACUGCAUUAUAAGGCAGUGUAGAUGGGGCCCAAGUUGACAACUGCAAAGAAUACUUGGCUAAAAAACCAUAAACCGGGUGCUGGUGAAGUAAAUUAACUAGAAAUUGAAAUGAAGCUGCUGGUUAACUUGUCUGUUCAGAAAAGAAUAAUAGAAAUAGGAAUCUUAAAGGCCGAAGUCCAAUCCUCUGCUUAAUUGAGUCAACUCAGUAAAAACAUAUCCAACUGGUAGCUGUCCAAAGAAAUAGACCUUAUCACCUCUAAUAACAACAACAACAACAAACAACUUUAUUUUCUAUCCCACCUCCAUCUCCCCGUAGGGACUCGGGGCGGCUAACACGGGGCCAAGCCCAAAAACAAAUAAAAGCACAAUAAAAUACAGGUAAAAACAGCAUCAAUAAUCAGGUAAAACACAUUAGACCGGAUGAUACAAUCCAAUAACAAUACAAUCACUGUAAAAACCAAUUCUAAAAUGUGGUUUUAAAGUGGAAUAAAAUGGGAGGACGGUCUAGGCAAAAGUGCAGCAAUGUAUAUUAUAGUGCCAUAUGGAGCAUAGUAGAACAAAGUGCUCAAACAUUCUCAGGAGAAUUGGAGUGAGGGAGGACUUCAAAUUAUUUCCAGGGAAGAGUAAUGUAAAGUGCGAGAUAUAGUGUAAUCGUUUGAAUAUAGAUUUGAUCAUGGGGACUAGAUUAUUCAAAAGCGCACUGGAAGAGCCAAGUUUUUAACCUCUCUAUAAUUAGCUCAAUUGUUGAACAUUUUUAAAAGCAAUGCUUUUGGGUUGGAAAGAUUAGCCAUUUACAAGAAACGUUGCUCAGGUUUACAAGAACCUGAAGCCUAACCCUGCCAAGACACAAGUGUGUGCUUUCCACCUACGUAACCGUGAAGCCAACAGGAAACUGAAAGUUACUUGGGAAGGCCAAGAGCUCAAACACUGUUUCCAUCCUAAAUAUCUUGGUGUCACCUUAGAUCGAACACUAACAUAUAGGAAACACUGCAUGAACACCAAGCACAAAGUAGCUGCACGCAACAACAUCCUGCAGAAACUUACUGGCAGUGCAUGGGAUGCAGACCCACAAUUAAUAAGAACAUCAGCCCUGGCCUUGUCUUACUCAGCUGCUGAGUACGCUUGUCCUGUCUGGCACAAGUCUGCCCGUGUGAAGCAGGUGGACAUAGCACUGAAUGAAACAUGUAGAAUAAUCACAGGAUGCCUUAAAGCUACACCUGUUGAUAACCUCUACAAGUUAGCUGACAUUGCCCCCCCCCCCCCAAUGUGCAACAGGAAGUUGUUGCUAACUGUGAGAGAAAUAACGUUGAACUUUGCGAAAGCCAUCCACUGCAUGACUAUCAGCCUCCUCCCAGUAGACUUAAAUCAAGGAAAAGCUUCAUGAGAACCACCACUCCUCUUGAUGUUCCUCCAGCAGCAGCAAGGGUGUCGCUCUGGGCAGCUAAACCUGGCAAUUCCAACUGGUUUCCAGGGGCAAACCAAGAAUGGGCAACAUGGAAGUCCCUAAACAGACUCAGAAGCGGAGUGGGCAGAUCAAAAGACAACUUGGCAAGAUGGCACUACCUGGAGGAAUCUUCCACCUUGUGUGACUGUGGAGCAGAACAAACAACUCCGCAUAUGUAUGCUUGCCCACAACAUCCUGCCUCAUGUACGGAGGAGGAGUUGUUUAAAGCUACAGACAAUGCGGUCACUGUUGCCCGCUUUUGGUCUAAAACUAUUUAGCUGCUUGUGAUUCCUUUAUUUUAUCACUUUAAAUAAAUAACUGUUGAACAUUCCUUCUACUAUUCAAUCAAAAUCUACCGUACUGAAACUUAAAUAUAUUAAAACUGGUACUAAGGCAGCAGAAUAAAUCUACUGCCCAGCUUCUUCAAUCUUCCCUUUAUGUUUUGUUCUGAGUUCCUCUUACCAUCCAUGUUGCCCUUCUCUGAAGCUGCUCCAAUUUGUGUAUAUCCUGUGCUUCUAUUAAUACAGGCUACAAUAUUUUUUGGCAUCUUUGCUGAAGCAUCACACAACUGGGUCAUUUUCAACUUAUGAUCCACAGUAAUUCCAAGGUCAUUUUUACAUACACUGCUGUUUCGCCAAGUAUCUCCCAUCCUGUAAAAUGUGUGCUUGGCUUUUGUAGCCUAAAAUGGCAGGGCUCAUAUCUGCUAAAGAGUUAUAACCAAAAGUAAAGGAGAGCAGAAUGGUGAAGUAGUUUGAGUAUUGGUGUAGGAGUCUGAAAAAUCUUGGCUGAGCUUUAGAAGCCCAUUAGAGUAGCCUUGGGCAAAUCAUGUUCUCAGCCCAAGAGGAAGAAAACUGCAAACCCUCUCUGAAUUGCCUAGAAAACCCUAUAGUUAUAGUCACAACAGUCAGAAUCAUCUUGAAGGCAUGUAACAACAACAAAAAUGAGCUUUAGUAGCUUUAGGCUAUAAAACAGAGGAUGGGGAGGAAGAAAAAUAAAGUUUCUUGCUUUUUUGUUCAGUUGGGUUUUUUAGAAUCUAGAAAUAUUUUUCCUAUUUCUAGUUACAUUUGCAAAUACAGCAGAGUCUCACUUAUCCAAGCUAAACGGGCCGGCAGAAGCUUGAAUAAGCGAAUAUCUUGGAUAAUAAGAAGGGAUUAAGGAAAAGCCUAUUAAACAUCAAAUUAGGUUAUGAUUUUACAAAUUAAGCACCAAAACAUCAUGUUAUACAAUAAAUUUGACAGAAAAAGUAGUUCAAUAUGCAGUAAUGUUAUGUUGUAAUUACUGUAUUUAUGAAUUUAGCACCAAAAUAUCACGAUAUAUUGAAAACAUUGACUACAAAAAUGGCUUGGAUCAUCCAGAAGCUUGGAUAAGCGAGGCUUGGAUAAGUGAGACUCUACUGUAUAUGGAUACUUUUUAACUUUAUUUACCCAUACAAUUGAAUCCUGUUUUGAGUAAAUGCUGGUGUUAAUCCCAUUGAUUCAUGGAUCUAUUCUUGCUGGAACUAACAAUAGGAUUUAGGCCAUAAUUGCAAACAGUAGGCUGGAGUGAAGUAUGAUUAGCAAUGCAAAUAUAACAUUUCGCCAUGGCUGGCAUUUUUUAUUUGUGUGCAUUUUAUUUGGAUAGCGGCAUCUGAACUGAAUAUUCAUGUGAAAUUAGAAAUAUAUGUUCAAGACAGAAUGGUAUAUUAGAGCCAAUGCUAGUUUGACUUACUCUCUCAGCUUUUCCUUGGGCAAUUGAAUGCAAAUAUAUUGUAAUGAAAUGCUUGUCCUUAUUGAAAUAGAAGUUGAUGGCUACCUUGAAGACACUGUUUUCUGACAACAACAGCUCUAAACCUGAUACCUGUUUAAUGGACUCACAAAAGAUGCAUAAUAUACUGUAUUAAAAAAAUCUCCCUUGAAAACUGUAAUGUCAGAGUAAAAAUCAUGUGUAUGUUGAAAACACAGUUUAUGUUUCAACAUCUCUGCAGUCCCUGUUUCCUUUUAUCCAAGGGAUGGCGAAGAAACAUCAUUUAUUAUAAAAUGAUAUAAAAUAUUAAUUUAAUUUUAAUAUGCCAAGGGCCAUAGAACAGUGUAUGUAAUUCUGUUUUUCCUUUCCUGUCAUUUUAUCCUGUUAAGAGAAACUCUGUAAUAUAGGUUUGGUUCAAAAAGAAUGAUUAACCCAAGAUCUUCCAGUCUGAGAGUCAGUGUUCGAUUGCUCAAUUGACUAUGGAAACCAACUGGGUGACCUUGGAUAGGCCACACUCUCUCGGCCCCAGAAAACCCCAUGAUAUGAUCAUCUUAGGGUUGUCAUAUGUCAGAAAUGACUUGAAGGCCCACAACCGUAAGAACAACUCCUAAUUUGCUUGAGAGUUAUGAACCAAAGUUAUCUACACCACAUUGGCUUUGUAAACCUUUGCUUCUUUAUGUACAAACUCUACCUGACACAUACUUCUGGGGAUUAUUAAAAAUGUUUGCGGUUGAUGGUCCCGCAGUAGCAGUUCAUGUAGGUCAAUUGAAUAUGCUUCCAGUUGGUGAAAUGAAUUUAGUAAGAGCCAUGCUGUACUGGAGCAAUGGCUUAUCUAUUCUUGUAUUAUGUUAAUUCAAAGUGUGGCCAUUCACAUUCCUAUGAAAAGCCCACUCUCUGGAGAUUUGGCUAAUUUAUCCUUUGUUCUACUUUGAUAGACAUUCUAAUGGGAACGGUGUGUUGCUGGAUAUUUCUCAAGCAAAGCACACUGGUUAGCUAUAAAAAGUCCCUUUGUUGCUAGUUCUAGCAUAUCUAUACCCAGUAGUUUCCAACAGAAAUGUAAUGGUAUACCUGUACAAUUAUACAUUAAUAUGUUUGUCUGUGAUUUUCCAUGUUUUGCAACUGCAGGUUGAGCAUCUCUUGUUUAGAAUUUGAAAAAAUCCAAAAUAUUCUAAAUUUGUUCAUAUGGUAACUGAGAUAGUCACAUCUUUGCUUUUGGAUGGUUUGGGGGUACAUUAAGUUUGUUUUAGGCACAAAAUCAUUUAAAAUAUUACAUUCAGUGUACGUAUAUGAAAUUGUACAUGAAUUUCAUGUUCUGACUUGGGAUCCAUUUCUAAGAUAUCUCAUUAUGUUUGUAUGUACAUGCAAAUACAGAUAUUCCAAAUUCCCCCCCCCCCCCAAAAAAAUCCAAAAUUCUAAACAGUUUGGAUCCCAAGCAUUUCAGAAAAAGGAUGCUGAGAUUUUACAGAGUGCAACGUAUGUGUUCGUAAUUAUAUACGGUUUGGAUUGUCUUUAGGUCUUUACUGGUAAUAGGAAAAUAAUAAGGGAAUUCAUUGUUGUAUAUAUCCCACACAUUUUCUUUGGAUCCUUCCCUGAGGGCUAUAGCUGCAUUUCUGGCUGUUUAUACGGCUAAAUGUAACCUUGGCAUUUUGGGCAGCUUUACCAGCAGCUUGGGAAUUCUGUCAAAAUGAGCUCUUCAGCCUGUGGAAACUCAUCUCAAAUAGUUGCCUAAUAUUCUAAGCAGAUUCUGAUACACUAAAGCCACUUCAUUUUUAAUUGGAUCAUCUGGAAUUAACAGUUGUGGCUAUACCUCAGUUACAUUGCUAUAUUAAUUAAAUUGCUGGAUGGCAUAUUUUCACAAUUUGAUGGACAAGCCACUGUUUUUCCAAUUUGAUGCUCUCUGUAACUUCAGGUACCUUAAUUUUUCAAAGGCAAACUGAAUUUUUUGGGUGAAUUAAAUGCUUUCUGUUUUGUUCAUCUGGUUAUUUGCCCCUCUUUCCCAAACGCACCUCAAUUUUAUAACAUUUAAAUCACUAUGCUGUGAAAUACAUGUAUUUGAGUCCAUGUUUGAAAAUAAAAAGCUGUUACUAGUGGGAAAAAGCCAGUUUUAAUGGAGCUUGAUACAUUAUGGGCUUUUGGCAUUUGAUAAAAGCAUUUCAACAUCUAGGGUUUUGACUUCUUCCUGCUUAGAAUGUGAGAAAUCAUAACAAAUCUGAAAAUACUUUUUUUUAAAAAAGUUGUAUUUGUUGGUAACCAAAGCUGUCCUUUCUGCUCACUCAAUAGUAGAAUCCAAUGUCAGAAGAGAGGCAUAAUCUUCCCUUAUCAUUGCCCUUCCUAAGCAUCCCAAAAACUUUCCUGAAGCCUUGUACAAUCUCUGCAGGGAAGGCUGGGGGACGAUUUUUAUAGUACUGAAUACCAAAGCCAGAACAUCAUAUUUACUAUGUGAAAGCUGGAAAGUGAGGAAGAAAAUAAGCUAAUCACAAAUGUAAUGUUGGAGGAGAGUACCGUGAAUAUCCUGGACUGACAAAAAGAUAACUCAAUGAGUCCAAGAGCAAAUUGUGCCUAAAUUGUCCCUGGAAGCCAAAAUGACUAAACUGAAACUGUCAUACUUCGGAUGUGACUCAUUAGAAAAGACAAUAAUGCUUAGUAAGAUAGAAGGCAUAGGAAAAGAGGAAGACUGCACUGGCGAGACUCAAUCAAGGAAGCCAAGCCCUGAGUUUCCAAGUCCUAAACAAGUCUGUUGGCAACACAAUGACUUGCAGGUAUCUCAUUCAUAGGGUUGCCAUAAAUCAGAGCUGUCUCGUCUGCAGUUAACGACAAAGAUUGGAGGGCGAGGAAUCCAAUAUUCUAAUAUAUGUUGGAUUUAGACUUGAAAUAUGCCAAUAAACAUUCAAAAACACCAAAAUGGAAUGCACUAGCACUUUUGAGAUUCACUGGGAAGAUUUUUUUUUUAUGAAUACAGUCCAAGUACAUGCAAGAAAUUUCUUCCCAGUGAAUCUCUAAGUUGUUAAUGGAUUCUUUCAUAUCUUUUUAGUUAGGUAUUAUAAGCCUGAAAUAAACAGGGCACCAACAUUUGUAAAAUGUCUCUCCUUUCAACACUUUAAGGCUUGUAGAUAGCGAUGUCCUUGGUUGCCUGGAGUAAUGCAGUUAUUAUUCCAGGCAACCAAGGACAUCGCUACCUUCAAGCCUGCCUUCUAACCACAUAAAUCUGGUUUCACUUAGUUCUAAAGACUAGAUGCUACAAUUUCAUCCCUAUGUUGACUUCAAUUGGUCUCUGUUGUAAUAUUCUUUUAAUUCCUCUUCCUGAUGAACUUGUUUUUAUUAUUGCUUUGGCAUAUCUUAUGUUUUUAUCCUACCCCUAUGCUAUGCUGGAGUGUGUGGCACCAGUUGUAUCGGUGAUAAUCCAAUCUGGAUAGCCUGUUCUGUACCAUGGCCAUGUUCAGUGCAACCUCCCCAUCUGUAUGACCAGUACUUGCAGUUUCAUUUAUCAAUGUCCAACAAAAUAUAUACUCUCUAGGCAUUUUCUAGAUCCUCCAACACCACUCUGUGGAAUCCUUGGACCAGAGGUACUUCAUUCCAAUAGAGUUUGCUGUUAUUUAUGGCUUCACAUAUCCAUAUGGUGGUGAACAUGUAGUAGCUGUAUUGUUAUACUUGUCUGUGAUUCCAUGUGUCUUCCUAUUUUCUUCAUAGCAGGACACAUUUGUUGAUGAGAAUUGUUGGAUACGAGGCAAUAUUAUGUUCCAAUUGCUGAUUAUCUUUUUGAUAGCUAUCCGUAACAGAUGCUGAAAAAAAUAAAAUAAAACUGGAAAACCCCAAAAUGGAUGAAUUUGGGGAAAGUCAGUCUCUAGAGUAUAUUUAGAAGUUAUAACUAAGAAACCUUGUUUAAGCAUCCUUCCCUUCCACUUGCUGAUUUUUCCUUUUCCUCUUGCUGUGUUCUUAUUAUCAUGACCAACAUCAGGGCAGAACUGUGACUUUCCUGAGAUAACCUCUAUAGUUUCAUUCUCAUAGUUCACUUUGGAUGAGAACAGGUUUAAAUUUGCCUAUGAGAGAUAAUAAUUUGAAAUGGCUGUUGCUAAUUGAGAACAAGGUAUAAGAUGGAUAAAAGCUGGAUUCAUCAACCAAGUUUUGCAGGUCAAAGACUACAAAGGAGUGUAGAUAGCAGUUUUAAUUACUUGGGAGCAAAUUGUUGGACAUAGUAGGUAGGAUUUCUAAAUAAACAAAUAUAGGAUUCCACUCUUGUCAUCCUUUUCAGCUAUGAAUUCUAGAUACGGCCAACUAAGGCUAAACUGUCUGUGUAUUCAGAUGACAGCUGGCAACAGAUGGUGGCACCUGAUCAUUGGCAGCAGGAAGAUGUUGCAGACAGACGAGAUGGAGAGGCAGGCUAAAAGGAGAGAGGUGAGACAGACAGAUAGAUAGACUAGAUGAGACAUCAGAUUCGGUUGCCUGUAAUUGGAUUGCCUGUCUCCUCACACUUACUGGAGAAACCAUCACAUGCAGGGAAAAGGAGGUUUAGCCUGGGACUACAGUGCUAGAAUGUAUGGUACAAUCCUCUCGUCAUUUAAAUUCCCUUUCUUAAGUUCAUUGUUGGAGAAAACCUAACAGGCACCUACACUUUUUACACACGUAUGGAAGAACUGGCAGCAAAUAAAGAAUGUCCUGAAUGAUAAGUGAAUGAUAAAUUCCAUUUUCUUGGAUUCUACAGCACUUGAUAACCUCUGUGUCUGACUGAGCCUCAGUUCAAAUCUGUGCAAUGCAGCUGAAUUUCAAUUCCUUCCCUUAAAAAACGUUUCCUUUAAAAUGUUUUGUAAAGUAAAAGAAAUAUUGGUAAGGGAAGAGGAAGAAAGGGUUCUUACACUAAAUGUAUGGGGACCAAAAUAAGUGAGAUAUUCUGUGUCACAGAAUAUCAAAGUACAAGGAUCAAAAUAAACAAAGGAAAGCCUUCUGAAUAAUCUUUGUAUCAUUCUCCGAUGGGCGGUAUCAGCAUGACUGUUGACACAAGCAAAAAAGAAAAAAAAUCUCUUGUCAAAAUGUGUCUUAUUUCAUUUAUCUUUUACAUAAAUGGAAGUCAUGGGUGCAUCACAUUUUCUGAUACUUACAAAGGGGAGUGGAUGAAUACAAGAUGAGCAUGCCUUAUCUAAAAUGCUAGGAACCAGAAGUGUUUUGGAUUUCAGAUUUUUUUUUCUUAUUUUGGAGUACCUCUACUUGCAUACACAUACAUACAUAAUGAGAUAUCUUAGAGAUGGGAUCCAAGUCUAAACAUGAAAUUUGUUUCUUUCAUAUACACCAUAUACACAUAGCCCAAAGGUAAUUUUCUCCAAAAUAUUUUAAAUGAUUUUUUUUGUAUGAAGCAAAAUUUGUGUACACUGCAUCAUCAUAAAGCAAAGGUGUUACUAUCUCAACCAACUCUGUAAACAUUUUUGAAUUUUGGAAUUCCGGAUAAGUCAUGCUCAAUCUCUUAAUACUAGACUUGGGUUGAAAGUGAUGUCUUUGCAUGAUACUUCAAAAAAAUCAAACACAGUUUUCUUCAUAUAUAAUUAAUGAUAAUUAGAAAAGAUUAUGGUGCUUGGUAAAGUGGAAGGCACUAGGAAAACAAAAACAGACUACAAGUGCAUUCAUUCAAUCAAGGAAGCCCCAGUCCUGAGUUUCCAAGAGCAGAGAAAUUGAUGACCAGGGCUUUUGGAGGUCUCUUACUGAUAGUCACUUUGACAGAAAACAACAACAAAUAAUUAAUGAAGAAUGUGCUUAAAUAAUACAUGUUUUCAGGACAGAUAGUAAUGGUCUGCUAAAAGACAUAGAUGGCAAUCCUGUGCUCAACUGUGGAGUGACUUACCUCUCAACUCGAAUCCCAAUGUCAAGGUCAGACCUAAAGAUAGAAAGCGUUUGACUAAAAGAGUUAGGAAACAUGUGGUCAUCCAGAUAUCAUUGAUACAUGAGAAUCGCAGACUGAGAAUGCCUGAGAAUCGCAGACAGGCAUUCAGCUGAUUAAGACUGCUUCCAUGAGAAAUUCUAGGGAGUCAUGCAUCUGGACACAGAGAUUGACUUUCGGUUCUGAUUCCCCAGAGAAGUGUUCUUUGGUGGGAAAACGAGACCCUAUUUAGGUUCCUUGCCCCGAAGGAAUCUUGCGGAGUCAAUUCGUCAGCUACUGGAGUAGGCUGUGUGUGGACAGCGCUAUUCCCGUUUCCAAGCCUCGUUCCUGUUUUCAAGCCUUCAUUCACGUUUCCAGCCUUGUUUCUGUUUCACGGACCUUGCCUUGCUUCCCGGACCUUGCCAAGUAAUUACCACGGAUCUUGUCCCUGUUCCUCGUUCCUUGUUGCCUUGAAUCAAGCUAUUUCCUUGCCUUGCCUAAGUUUCAUGGACUAAAGGACCUUGUCAUCUCCCCUCACUUUGCUUGGCAAAGUGAGUGUUUCGGUUACUGGAUUACAACUUUGGACCUUACUAUUUCAUAUUGGACAUUGUUUUCCUGGACUAUAUUUGACCUUUCCUGAAAGGACAUCUUCUGAACUAUAUUCUACACUUAUUUUUAUUGCCUUUACUUAUUUCCUUAAUAAAGAUAUUAGAUAGAUUCUGGCCUCUGUGUAUGGUUAUUGGUGCUCUGCAGCCUGGGUCGUGACAGUUAGCUUGAAGAUUUAUUCUGUAUGUGUGUGAUAAAAUAUGCAAACUGAGCAAGUAUUGCUUAGGCAAUAUUAUUCCAAAAUGGGAAAAAUCUAGCAAUUGACUUCUGUUGCCAGAACAGCCAAUCUAGGAGAACCAGGGGGCUUUAGCCUCUUCACGAACUCCUAAAUUAGUCCUUGAAACUCAGAUCACCUCUGGAGUCUCUCGCAGGGUGUGGUGGAGGGCUGCAUUAGAGAGGGAACAAAAGUUCGAAUAGUUCUAUUAGUGGAUUGAUGCUUUUAUCUUAAUAUCAACAUACCCGAAUUGACUUCUGCAACCUUAAAAACACUAAAUAUUUGGGUGUAUUUUGUUUUUGAGUUAUGAUAUAAUUUACUUUGGAUCCCAUAUUGGAAGGAAGGUGGGAUGCAAACUAAAUAAAACAAUAAAUUGAUUCUUUUCUCAUAACCACUUCCUCCAGUGAAGGAAAAAUUAUUAUCCUUAAGAGUUCUUGGGAGAAAACCACAUUGCGUAAAAGUUUACUAUAGUACAGCAUGACCCCUGUAUCCGCUGAGGAUAUGUUACAAGGCCUGCCCACCCCUUGUGGAUAAUUGAAAUGGCAGAUAAUAGUGCACACUAUAUUUUGACUAUACCUAGAAUGAAAGCAUACUAUAGGAUAGUACUGGAGGAACUAGAGAAGUCCACAGAUAUUUCCAGGAUGGGAAUUUUUGGAGCUUGGGUAAGUGAAAGUGUAUAUUGAGCCCACAAAUAAGGAGGUCAUAUUGUGCUACUGUUAAAAUACUUAAAGACUAAGACUGCUGUUGCAUCUUAAAUACUGGAGGCUGCAUGAACAUUGUCUUGGAAGGAUCUCACAAGUUAACUCUAGAGAUCUACUGACCAAGCCUGUUUUCCCCCCUUAAGCCGCCAAUACAUUGUUAUUAUCUCUUUGAUCCCAACAGGAUACAAGAAACACUGUUUUCCUCUUCCAAAAGUGAUAUUGCCAAGCUAGUUUGCCAUGAAUUAUAAAUGCUCAGUGGUUAUUGCUUUUCUUCCCUUAAUUUCUUUUCAUUACAGAAUGUCCAUUGUCUGGAGCAUUCGCUUAUCUCCUGUGAUUCUGCCCUGAUCUUGUAAACAAGCCCCUCUCUGUGCUUUUGAAAUAAAGCUUGCAAUCAGUGUUUACAUGGCAAUCUUAUUCAUGUCUCCUCAAAAUUAAGUACCAAUGAAUUCAGCAGGGUUUACUCUUAAAUAAAUAUGUAAGAGGUUGUAACUGUAUUUCUCAGAAAAAUCCUUUUCAUUGGCUCUUUUCUAUUCAGUAUUGUGUGAUCAUGACUAUUUUAUUUAUUUAUUUAUUUAGUUCUGAUAUUUCUACCCCACCCUUCUCCCCGAGGGGACUCAGGGUGGCUUACACAACUGGCAGGAUCACUACCAGUAUAUCAUAAUACAAUAAAAUGAUACAACAAUUAAAAUAGUUAAAUAACAUAGUAAAAUACAAUAUAUAAAAGAUUUAACACAGGUCUGUAGUGUUAUGUGUUCUGAAUGAAGAAACAGAUUGUGACCCUAAAUGCUCUUCUGUUGUCAGUUGAAUGUUUACUAAUGUAUUGGCGCCAGUUUAGAGACGUGUGUUUUGAAAGUCUCUUGCUGGCUUUGGUAUGUAGCCACCAUCAUUGACUCUUCAAAUAUCGCAGACUUCAGCUACGCUGUGAGCCAACAGUAUUAUUAUUAAGAUUUCAGAAGUAGGAUUCCUCAUGCCAGAGCCAUCAUAGCCAAAGGAAUGCUCGGUUCCAACAACAUUUGCAUGGCCAUAGGAUACCUUACAUCUGUGAUAGAGAAUGGAUGCUGACCUGAGGUGCCUUUAGAACAGGCAUGGGUAAACUUCAGCUCUCCAGAUGUUUUGGAUUUCAACUCCCACAAUUCCUAACAGCCGACAGGGUGUUAGGAAUUGUGGGAGUUGAAGUCCAAAACACCUGGAGGGCCAAAGUUUGCCCAUGCUUGCUUUAGAGAGAUGCUGAAAAUGCCACAUGGAAAGAGGAUGUUUUGAAAGACUGCAGUGACCAAGCAUCCAAGAGGAAUGGAGGAAAGCUAGUGACUUUUUGAAUACUUGACAUAUAAGAUUGUCCAUGGAGAAUUUUAUGGUGAUUCUAGCCUUAGAAAAGCUCAAUGGGCAUCCCUGGAGUUUUCUGACAGGAUGGUCCAGGGCUUUCACUGUAAAUAAUUAGAUUCCAGUUUAUUUUUAUUUAAACCCUGCCGUGCAUAGUUGGCAAAGAGAACAUAUCAGGUGCACAAAGAAUUUGACUGUUUCUGAACAGGCAAAUUAUACAGUCUCUUGACCUGAUUUCUUAAAAUAAAAUUUUGCAUACAGAUCCAAGAGCUUGUCAUUAAUAAGCCUAACAAUUUGAAUUUAAUCAGAACCUUUCAUUGUAAAUGUAAUGCACAGCAAGAAAUGGCAUCUGGCUCUAAAUAUUAAAAGUUAUUCCGCACUCCCUCUAUUUAGAGCACAUUAAGGGUGCCUUCCAUAUGCACAUAUAUUAGGGAGUAAUUCAGAUUGAACACUGCAGGAUUUCUUCUUAAGCAACAAACAAACUUUUUUUCUGUGCUAAGCUUUGCAAAUUGUGCAUUAUAUAUUUGUCAGCCUCGUGAUUUAAGCCUUAAAAGUUUAAGAAAUACAGGAAAUUAGAAUUCGAUUUAAAGCUCCAAGUGCCCUCUAAACUACUGUUUAUUUCUUAUCAUCUUUGACACUGUGUAGAAUGGCAGUGAGCUUUGAUGAAUGCUAUUAAUGUGCAUAUAUCCAGAAAAUUUCACUUGCUAUUGUAAACUUACUAAAUUUGAGCAUCCACAUUUACACUCAGUUAUCUUGCUUUCUUGCUAUUUAUAAUAUUGACAGAAAUGCUUCCACUAUCCCUUGGAAAGAUAUCUGGGAUUCAUGACGGUGAAAUACUCUCACUUCUGGAAAGUUCAUUAAGUGAUAUUGAGAUACACAUGCUGGUAACAUAUUCAGGUUAGCUGUGUUUCACAGAUAGCAAAAACAACAAAAUACACAAAGCAGGAAAACCUUUAGUUGGCCACUUUCAAAUCACAAAAUACAAGAUUUCAAAGCUUUAUUGUCUUUUUUAUCAGGUAAAUAUGAUUUAAAAAAAACAUACA
Long non-coding RNA from Anolis carolinensis (green anole), 58628 nucleotides. RefSeq lists it as uncharacterized. The transcript is spliced from 2 exons. Lineage: Eukaryota; Metazoa; Chordata; Lepidosauria; Squamata; Anolidae. The record is from RefSeq and is a predicted model, not a curated record.